CUCAAUCAACACGAGAACAACGUUGUUGUUUACGCACUAACGAUCGGAACGAAAGCUCUCACUUUCUCACUCGAUCUCGCUCUCUUCUUCUUUGUCAAGCUCUACUUUACAAUCUCUCGUUCUCCCUCUCCCGGCCUCUCACUUUUCUCAUUGUUACUUUUUUUUGUUUUACUCUUUUUUGGUUUGUCUGUGUGGCUAUUUUGUGGUUCUUUGAUUCUUUUUUUAGGUUUUUGUGUCCGUGAUGGAUUCCCCGCCAGGUACUCCGAUUUCAUCACUCUCUCAUACUGUGGCCACUCCGUCACUUCCGUCGGCACCGAAAAAGAAACCCCAACAGUCUAUGGCAAGGUUUAUUCUGCACUCUUUAGAUGAUAUUACCGAAAUGGUUCAGGAAAUUAUUCUAGUUCUUUGAUUCUUUUUUUAGGUUUUUCCUAUCCGUGAUGGAUUCCCCGCCAGGUACUCCGAUUUCAUCACUCUCUCAUACGGUGGCCACUCCGUCACUUCCGUCGGCACCGAAAAAGAAACCCCAACAGUCUAUGGUAAGGUUUAUUCUGCACUCUUUAGAAGAUGUUAGCGAAAUGGUUCAGGAAAUUAUUCUAAGGCGUGAGUACAGCCAAGAAGCAUUGAAUGCUGAGAGAGAAAGAAAAAUGCGCAUUUUGAUGUCACUGCGAUAGUCAUUCAUUGCUUGCGUGAGUAUGAUUCUUGUGUUGGUUGGUAACGUGGUAUGAUUAUCUGUUCCCUUAUUCCUUUCAAUUUAUAUUUGGUAAGAAUCUAAGUUUAUAGAUUUAUAUACGUUUUUAUGCCAAAAUAUAAAAUAUGCCUUCGAUUUUGAUUUUUAUACUAAAGAAAGUACCUAUUUUAUAUUAUGAAUCUAUGAUGAAUGAAGAUACUUCUAUAGACGGAUAUGUGUUAGGUAACAAUUUAUGUGUUUCAAUUGUUUAUGAUUCUUAUUCUAAAAUCUAUAAUAAGUCUCCUAAAGUUAGUCCUCUUUAUCUUUUUAUCUUAAUAUUGUUUAUGUUAUGUCAAUGCCACUCUUGUAACUAUUCGAAUAUUUGAGUACUCACUACCAACAUGUUCUAAUACCCUCUCAUUCACUAUCUAAGGUAUGUUCUUUUCUUUGCCAAAACUAUUUUGAAUCUAUUACUAACUUGAUCGUUGGAGUCUUUGCAGGUACCACACCCAUUGCUCAUGAGCGGAAACAAUUUUGGCAACAACAGUUGGUCAAUCUAAUCUACUCAUUCUAAAAUCUAUACUAAAUCUCCUAAACUUAGUCCUCUUUAUCUUUUUAUCUUAAUAUUGUUUAUGUUCUGUCAAUGCCCCUCUUGUAACUAUUCGAAUAUUUGAGCACUCACUACCAACAUGUUCUAAUACCCUCUCAUUCACUAUCUUAGGUAUGUUCUUUUCUUUGCCAAAACUAUUUUGAAUCUAUUACUAACUUGAUCGUUGGAGUCUUUGCAGGUACCACACCCAUUGCUCAUGAGCGGAAACAAUUUUGGCAACAACAGUUGGUCAAUCUAAUCUACUUCAUAUUUGGACAAUCAUUCUAGAAAUGAACAUGUAAGUAGUAUCUUAAUUACUACAUCUCUUCUAUGUGGAAAAAGGUGAGAAAUUUUUGUGAUUCAAUUGUUUAUGACUCUCAUUCUAGAAUCUAUCAAUAUCUUAAAAUUAGUCCUCUUUUUCUUUUAUCUUGAUAUUGGUUAUGUUUUGUCAUGGCCCCUUCUUGUAACAAUUUAUAUCUGCAUAAUGGAUCACACAUUUGAUUGCUUUUAUCUGCUGUCGGUAGCUUGUCCCUGUCCUUCUCAACCUCCAAGUGUCGUUUGUCUGCUUGAGGUUGAAAUUGGCCUACAUUCAAGAGAUGUAAGCAUACACGCAGUAUAUUCCACCACGAGCCUUUCUAGAUCAUUACUCCAAAUCCUAAGAUUGAGUAUUUCUUUUCAACACUUGUUAGGAUUAGGCAAUAGUAUAUAAUUGAAACCAAGAGAUCUCUGUUCAACACAUGUCCAAUGCUUUCUCUGCUUACAUCAAGUGACCAUUUUACUUCCUCUGGUUCACAAUACAAUAUAUCUGGAUUGAUGUGAAACUUUGAAGUUCUAGGAGGUCAGAUUAUUUCCUUUCUUUGUAGUGUUACAAUAUUGUUUCAUUUGGCCUAUUGUUUUUAUCUUGACCUUAAUUUGUAUAAACUUCAGCUUCCAUGAUAUUGUUAUUUUUAUUUUCCAUUCUGGGUUGUUAAUCUACUCUUAAUAAUUAAAAUAAAUAUGUUAACAUCUUAUAUGCAUAUGUUUGAUUUUACUUUUGGAGCAUGUAAAAUUGAUUUAAAUUGAUCGUGACAAGUUUGGUUGUUAUUGAGUAGAAUUGAUUGUCUCCUCUAGAGUUGAUUUUUAACUUUGGAUUUAUCACUCAACCUACUUUGACAAGCAACAUAAAUUGUUUUAACAACAACUCACGAUUAAUCAAAAUCAAUUUUUUAUAAUUAAUAGUUAUAUUUUUUUUUACAGAAGAAUAUUAGCAAUUUUUAUUGUCAAGUAGUUUUAAUCAUUAUUUUAGCUCUUGAAAGUAUAAGACGCUCAAAACUGAAUCCUCUUUUUUUUUAAAAAAAAAAUAAGUACUUUUUUUUUAUUGUUUUACCUUAUGUUGAUGAUCUUGUUAUUGUUGGAACUUGUCUACUUGAUAUACAAAGUAUUAAAACAAUUACUAGAUAAUAAGUUCAACAUUGAAUAUUUGAAAACAUUAAAAUAUCUUUUGGAUUUCUAAGUGGAUAUUUCCUUACUCAAAUGAAUAUACCCUUGACUUGAAUAUUAAGGUUGUUGGCUCCUAAACCUACUUCCAAAUCCAUGAAUUGGUUUAAAGCUUUGUUUAAAAUUUUGACAACCCUUGUUGGAUCCAAUUGGUUUUGAACACAAAUAGAUAGAUUGUUUUAUCUAAAAAUCUUAAUAUAUAUAUAUAUAUAUAUAUAUAUAUAUAUAUAUAUAUAUAUUUGCAGUAAAAUAAAUUUAAUUCACAAUAGAAUAAAAAUAAUAUAAUCAAAUUUAAUGAUUAAUAAAACAAAAAGUACAUUAGUAAUAUACAUAAAAAUUAAAGAAAUUAAUGAAAAAUCACCUAAUCAAAAUCUUAAUCUUAACAAUCAAACUAUAGUCUUCUACCGGUCAAUGGCUAAAAAUAAUGUGAUAUGUACGAUCUUUAAUGUCAUCCAUUUUCGAAAAAAAGAAAUAUUUGUUGAUGUUCGUUCAUAUCGAUUAUAAGUCAUAUCUAACAUGACGAAUUCAACUAUGUAUUGACAGCAUUUGUAAAGUUGAGAGAGUGUUGAAUUUGGUGUAAGCCUCCAUAAAUCUGUUUCCUAAAAUAUGGUAUCGACAAAAUGAGUCAUUUGAUUUUAUAGACACCACACCAAAAUGGAAAAACAAAAUAUAACAUACUAUAAUGACGAACACACAACAAAAAAAUUGGCCUAUCGUGACACACAAUAUUUCAAUGAGAUGUUCAAUAAGAUGUAGUUUCGAUGAGAUUAAACUACUAGAGUUAUGGAUUUUUAAGUUCUUACCAGUGAAAUGAGAUGUUAGGGAUUUCCAUGAGCUGUGCAAAAAGUGCAAAAAAGAAAAGAGAGAACUAGUUAGGGUUUGCAAAUCAAUUAAUAAAUGUUCAUUUACCAACAAAAAAUCAUGAAAAUAGAACAAAUUAGAGAGAGCAAACUAGAUAACGACAAUGAACGAGAGUGAAACAGAGAACUUGUGAAGGAGACGUUGAAGUGGCGGCCAGAGAGCUUGAGCGGCGGCCGGAGAGCUCUUAGCGGUGGUCGGAGAGCUCUUAGCGGCGGCGGCAAACUGGUUUGUUGUAACAAGUGGAAGAAGAAGGGUUUCCAGUGAAAGAGUGAGAAUGAUCCAGACUCGUUUAGUUUUUUUAAUAAGAAAGUAAUAAUGAACUUUCCUUUCACUUAACCUGUUUUGCACUAAAAAUUAGAUAAAUAAGAAUAAGUGACACUCUGUCUGUAGCUAAAAGUAAUUAUAGUGACAAAUAAAGAAAUAUUAAUAUAACUUUAGUGUCACAAUAGAUAUUUUUUCUUGUAGUGACAAAUCAAUGUCGCAAUUAGAUAAUUAAAUCAUAAAUAAAAUACAAAAAAAGAAGUAAAUUUGUGUAGAAAAUCAAUUAUUUAACUAAAAGCAGGAAUAAAAUAAUUUAGAGAGGUAAUUUAGAGAGGUGAUUUUAGAUAAAUAAAUAAAUAAAUAACUCAAAGUUAUCCAUCAAAUGAACAAAGUAAAAGAGAAUAAGAGAAUAAGCUAGGUUAUUUGCUAAAAAACAACUUUAGGCUACAAGUCAAUUCUUCGACAUAUCUUAUAUUGUUUGUAUUAGUUAUAUGUCGAUUCUUCUAUUCUCCUUUUGCCACUCAUCUCUAGGUUGCAUUAAGGAUUCUAAAUUAUUUGAAGGUAAACUAGUGAAAGAUUUUUCACAACAACAUCCAUUAUUAUGUUCCAACUCUCUAGUUGUUUUGCGAUUCUGAGUGGAACUCAUAUCAGAUCUAGAAGAUAACAACAAGCUUUUGUUUCUCUCUUGGCAACUCUUUAAUUCCAUGGAAAAGUAAGAAACAUUCAAUUGUUUCUCAUUCUUCAUCGCAACCAGAAUAUAGAGCUUUAGAAUUCUAUUAUUUUAAUAUAUCGUUGUUUGAUUGUUUAAAAACAAAGUCAUGUCCAUUAAUAGUUGUGAUGUGUCGACGGUGUAAAAAAAUUUACACUAACGGUGAUUAACAAUUAAACUCUUAAAUUUGUGGUACAAUAAAUAAAAUACAUUAUUAUUAUUAUUGUGGGUAUAUAAAUUAAUAUAAUUAUAAAUAAAAUUACAUAAUAAAUAUUUUUGUUUGUUUUUACAGAAGAAUAAUAGAAAUUUUUAUUUAGUUUUAAUCAUCAUUUUAGCACUUGAAAGGAUAAGACGCUCAUAACUGAAUACUCUUUUUUUUUUUUAAAAAAUAAGUACUUUUUUUUAUUGUUUUAACUUAUGAUGAUGAUCUUGUUAAUGUUGGCACGUGUCUACUUGAUAUACAAAGUAUUAAAACAAUUACUAGAUAAAAAGUUCAACAUUGAAGAUGUUGAAACAUUAAAAUAUCUUUUGGAUUUUGAAGUGCUUACCCAAAGAAAAUAUACCUUUGACUUACUUGAAUAUCAGGGUUGUUGGCUCCUAAACCAACUUCCAAAUCCAUGAAUUUGGUUUAAAGCACUCUUUAAAUUUUUGACAACCUUAUCUGAUCCAAUUGAUUUUUGAACACAUAGAUACAUUGUUUUAUCUAAAAAAUUUAAUAUAUAUAUUGACAAUAAAAUAAAUUUAAUUCACCCUAGAAUAAAAAUAACAUACAUAAAAAUUGUAGAAAUUAAUGAAAAAUCACAUAAUCAAAAUCUUAAUCUUAACAAUCAAACUAUAGUCUUCUACCGGUCAAUGGCUAAGAAUAAUGUGAUAUGUACGAUUUUUAAUGUCAUCCAUCUUUGAAAAAAAGAAAUAUUUGUUGAUGUUCGUUCAUAUCGUUUAUAGGUAAUAUCUGACAUGAGGAAUUCAACUAUAUAUUGACAAGUCAUUUGUAAGAUUGAUUCCUCUCUUCUCCUUUUUCUAUUCAUCUUUAGGCUGCAUUAAGGAUUCUAUAUUAUUUGAAUGUAAACUAGAAAGAUUUUUCACACAACAUCCAUCAUUUGGUUCCAACUCUCCAAUUGCCCUAUUACUAGGGUAAUUUUUGUAAUAGGGUAAUUUUUCUGGUUUUUGUGUUGUAGUAUUCAAUUGGGACGACGUGUUUAAGUCAAAUUGUAAUGGUGAGAUUAAUUGGGAUUGGAUAGCAGGUCUUAUUGUUUUUGGUUGUAUGUAAGUUGUUUGAUAAAAAGGUGGUAAUGAUAAUGGGGCUAAUGGAGUAAACAUGUUUUGGUUUGGUGGAGGAAGAAGAGAGAGUUUAUAAUACAUGUUUCAUUGUGGGUGUUUUUGUAAUUUUUUCUUCAAUAAUUGGGGAUUCAUACUUUAUGACUCAUUGUGCUUUCCCUGUAAAAAUUCUCUUGUAAGAAAAUAUGGUAAUGAGUUUUUCUCUCCUUUAAUAUGUUCUAUUUCGAAAUCAAAACAAGAAAGUAAAGAUUGCCAUCUAGCAAAACUAUGUUUAGAAAUCAGGUUUUUAACAUCCUUUUGCAAAACAUCUUUUGUUGCUUUACAAUCAGUUUUUAAUAAAAAUUUCUUCGAAAAUAAGUCAUCUUGAAAUUUUGUAAUGCAUAAAACAAUUGCCAAAAUCUCUUUUUAACAGUACUAUAUUUUAGUUGAGUUGUGUUCCAUAUUCUAGAGUAAUAUCUCACUAUUUGCUCUUUUGGGUUUCCUGGUAAUUUUUGUUUUUACACUCUUCCAUAACCUAACUCUGAUGAGUCAGUCUCUACUAUUAAUAGGGCUUGAGGAUCUAGAAUUCCUAAGCAAGAUAAUUUUUUAAUUAUUUGUUUUAAGGUUUUGACACUAUCGGCCAUAGUCUCAUCCAAUUUGGGUGGAUUUUUUCUUAGUCUUUUAAAUAAAGGUGAACAUAUAAUCCUAAGGUUGGGAAUAAAGUCUGCUACAUAAUUUAAACAUCCUAAGAAUCUUUGUAAUUGAGUUUUGUAUUUUAAUUCAUUAGGAAAUUUUUCUCCAAAUUCUAUUGACCUACUAAUUUGUGUUAUUGUUCCUUGAUAAAUGUUGAAUCAUAAAAAUCUAAUAUUAUCCUGAAAUAAUUUUAUUUUCUUGGCUGACACCACUAAUCCUUUUUCUUUAAUAAUAUUAAAGAAUUUUUUCUAGAUGAUCAAAGUGUUGAUUAAUACUUUUUGAAAAUACUAAUACGUCAUCUAAGUAUAUAAUAGUAAAACGUUGUAAUUAUUAAAAAUGUCAUUCAUAAUAUUUUGGAAUUCACUGGGUGCAUUCUUUAAUCCGAAGGGCAUAACAUUCCAUUUGUAAUGUCCAAAGGGUAAUACAAAGGCUUUUUUAUAUUUAUCCUCUUCUUUUAUUUGUAUUUGGUAAUAUGCUGAUUUCAUGUCAAAUUUAGAUAAUACAAAUGAACUGUGCAAUCUACUUACUAAAUCGUUUUUAUUGGGUAUUGGAUACCUAAUCCAUUGUAAUACUUUAUUUAAUGAUUUAUAAUUUAUAACUAAUUUGAGGGCUGCUCUUUCUAAUUUUGUUGAGUUCAUUACAUAGAACCCUACACAACUCAGGGAGACUUACCAGGUCGUAUUAAUCCUUUAUCUAAGUAUUCUUGUAUUUCCUUUUUACAAUAAUCUAGGUAUUGUUGAUUAAUUUGUAUUGGUCUUGCCUUAGUGGGAAUGUUUCUCUCAUUAAAAUUGAGUUCAUAAGGAAGAGAGACCACAUGCUUCAUUCUUGUCCAGAAAGCAUUAGGGUGAUCUGCACAAAUUUCUUUUUCAAAUUUAUCUUGUAUAAUUUUAUUUUGUAAUUGUUCUUCUAUUCUUUUAUAAUGAAUCUCUUUGUUUAUCAUUCCUAUUUGUUUCUUCUUUUGAGAAAUUAAAUUAAUUUUAUUAUGACUUGAUGUCGAUGCUUCCUGUAGCAUUUAAUUCUUUAAUUUUGGGUUUUUGAACAACCUCAAAUUUUAUUGUUUUUCCUAAUGCUUUUUUAGUAAGACCUUCAUGUGAUACAAUGAAUAGGUAUAUUAAUGCUAAGAAAGGGUUUCCUAUAAUUACACUUUCUCUAAUGUCUUUUACUAAUAAAAAUGAAGUAUGAUAACAAAUUCCAUUUUUACAGACUUUUGCAUCAGGUAAUUUAAUAGUAACACCUAAUCUAGAACCAUUGGCUCCACUUAAUCUUUCUAGGGUUUUUUUCGUAAUAUUUAGUGGGUAUUAAUCCUUCUUGGAUACAAUUAGAGUCUGCACCAGAAUCAAAUAAUGUAAUAAACUCAAAUUUUUUAUUUUUAAUAAUUAUAGUUAUUGGACAGUACCAUUUGUGUACAAUUAAUUUAUUUAACAAAAAUAAAUAAGGUUCUUAUUCUUUUAUAUCAUUAUUAUUACUACUACUUUCUAACUUAAGUUGUUGUUCUAAUAUACUUUUUUCUUUUAAUUCUAAAUACUUAACAUCUAAUUCUAAAUCCUUUUGUUUUAAUAAUUGAAUUUCUUGUUUUUAUAGAAGUAAUUUCAUUCUGCAAGUCUUUAAUAGUAAUUGGUGGGGUAAUAAUGAGUUUAAAUCUAUUCAUUUUUUCUUUAAAUUCUACUUUAUGAACUAUUUCCUUUUCUAUUUGUUCUUUUUAUAUAAUUCCUUGUAUCUGAAUCAUAAAUUCUUCAUUUUGAUUUGAAUCAAGCAUUUUUCUUAAUACUUCUAUAAGAGUACUAGCUUGAUCUGUAGUAAUCAUAUUAAUUCCCUUAGUACAAUCAUUACAGUUACAUAACUCUAGACCUAAACAAUAAUUUUCUUCUGAUUCUGAUUUUUCGGAUAUAUUAUUAACAUAUUCUUCUUCAUAAGAUGAUUCUUCCAAAGAAUUAGAGGAUUCAUCAAUCAACAUAAUUCCUUCUAAGAUAUUAAUAAGACUUUCUUUUAAUUCUUUUUGUAUUUCUAAUUUACAGAUUUCAUUCAUUUUUUGUUUUACUCUACAAUUUUUUGCAUAAUGUCCUAGUCUUCCACAUUUAAAACAUUUAAUUUCUUGUUUAUUAAAGACUUUUUUUAUUAGUUCUUUUAAUUUUUUGUGUUUUCUUUAUUGGUUCUUUUGGGGGUGUAAUUAUUAUUAUAAUUUUUCUUUUUGUCUAAAUGUUUGUUUUGGAUAACUUUUAUUUAAGUUUUUUACUGGGAUCUUUAAUCAUCUCUAUUCCGAAUUGUUCACAAAAUGAUCCUAAUUCUUUUCUACUUUGUACUACUUCUGAUCUAAUUUUAUUCUGUAUCUUAAAAUCUGUGCAUAUUCCUAUUUCGGUCGCUAUUAUAUUUAUUGGCCGAUUUUUUCCAAUUCUAAUUCAUCAUGUCUCCUAAUAAUUCAGCUACCUUUAAUGUCACAUUUUUUUUCUUUAACAUUAUUAAAUAAAAUGGAUUAGUGGUGUCAGCCAAGAAAAUGAAACUAUUUCAGGAUAAUAGUAGAUUUUUAGGAUUCAACAUUUAUCAAGGAACAAUAACACCAAUUAGUAGGUCAAUAGAAUUUGGAGAAAAAUUUCCUAAUGAAUUAAAAGACAAAACUCAAUAAUAAUAAUAAUAAUAAUAAUAAUAAUAAUAUGUAAUAAUAAUAAUAAUAAUAAUAAUAAUAAUAAUAAUAAUAAUAAUAAUAAUAAUAAUAAUAAUAAUAAUAAUAAUAAUAAUAAUAAUUAUUAUUAUUAAUUUUGAUGUAUUUUUUUUCUAUUAAAUGUACUUUGAUUUUUUAAAAUAUUUUUAUUAUUUAUAUUACUUUUUCAUUUAUUAGAUUGCAUUGGUCAGCACUCAAGUGGAUUAUGAGGUACUUAAAUGGCUCACUGACAGCAGGUUUAAAAUUCAAAAAGAAUCAUCAUGACAAUGAACCAAUCAAAUGAUAUGUGGACUCGGAUUAUGCUAGAAUCAUGGACACUAGAAAAUCAAUUUCUAGUUAUGUUUUCACUCUAUAUGGGACUGCUGUAAGUUGGAGAGCAAUUACGCAGUCGGUGGUAGCACUUUCUACAACUCAAGUUGAAUUCAUUGCGCUUACUGAAAGUGUUAAAGAAGCUUUAUGGAUAAAAGGACUUAUUGGUUAACUAGGAAUAAAUCAGAAUUGUGUUUCAAUUUAUUGUGAUAGUCAAAUUGCUAUGCACUUAUCCAAGCAUCAAGUGUAUCAUAAAAAGUUUAAACCUAUUGAUAUUAAGUAUCACUUCAUAACAGAUGUGAUCAAUUCAAAGCAGGUUUCACUUGAGAAGAUUGCAACUGAGGACAACUUAGCUGAUGCAUUCACCAAAUCACUUUCACAAGCUAAGUUCAAGCAUUGUUUGGACAUAGUUGGCUUCAACAAAGAGUAAAGAUGAAGCAAUGGCAGCAAGAUCAAUUAUUGAACUAUUCUGAUAUUGAGUCAAGGUGGAGAAUUGUGAAUAUGUGCCUCAAAUCAUCUAACUAAAGUUAGUUAAGCUUUAGUGGUUUUUAUAACUACAUUUGGCAAGGUUAGUUAUGAUAGGUGUUUAUAGUUAGUUUGCUUGUGUAUACUAUAAGUUGUAAUAUUGUAGCAGUUGUAAUGUUGUUGUUGUAGUAGUAACAGUUGGAAACUAAGAGAGACAUAUGCAACUCAUGAUUCAUAGAAUAUCAUAGAGAGAUGAUUAAAAUGAGAGAAAGAAAGAUUAAGAGAAAGGCUAGUAUUGAUGGUUCAUAAAUGGAGAAGGCUUUAAUCUUGUAGAGUUCAAUUAACAAUAGUGGAUUAAUCUUGCUUGUUUGCUUGUGACAUAGAUCUCAUCAAUUGAAACCGAACACAUAAAUUUUUUGUGUUAUUCUUUCCUUAUCCUUCUUUAAUUUUAAUGUGAAAACUGUUUCAGAACAUUCUCUGUUUUUAGCAGAAAAACCCAAAACGUUCUCCGUUUUCUGGUUUUUUCAGUUCUGUCUAGAACGUUCUCUGUUUUCAGCAGAAAAUGCAGAACGCUCUCUUUUUUAUUUUUUAUCUGCAAUUGCUUGUUUUUCUGUUUUGUGGGUUAACUCUUGUUGCAGAUCCCAAUAUUGUUUUAAGAGAAUGUAUUUAUAUCAAGUUUUCAGCUAAAUAGUAAAAAUCUCAUAGGGCGUGAGGAUGGGACGUAGCUCAAAGUUAAGGGUUAAUUAGGAUAAAUUUUUGUGUGAUUUUAUUUACUUUAAUCUUGUAACCUUGUACAUUAGUCACACUGCAUCAUUGCCAUUUACAUUUUCCAUUAUAUAAUUCUGAUAAAGAACAUUUUCUUUGUUUUUAAAUAUAAAUUUUUAAAGGUAACAAUUCAAUCCUCCCUUUUUCUGAGAUGUUAUUCUACUUCAGCCAUCACCAUCAUUACUACAACUACCAUUAAGCCGUCAAAAUGGACUAGUCCAAAUGGAUCGACCUAAAAUGCUCGAUAAAAACAUAAGACUUGGAUUCUAAAUUUCACAUUCGAUUUUAAAUAGGGCUUUUUGGCCCGGCCCUAAAAAGCUCUUACAUAUGGUGGGCUAGCUCGAUCGGGCUAAGGGCAACUACUGUAUUUUAAUAUUAUUACAUCAACAUUAUUAGAUUAGUUGUUAUACACUCGAUGUAAUAAACAAAGUGGUGGUAAAUUUGUUAUUAACACAAACUAUGUCAAGUCUUUUCUCAUUGGAGUGUUCUAAUAAGCAAAUUAAAAAAAAAAAUUAAAAACUACUCCCUAAACCCAAAAAUCAUAAUAUAGAACAUGUACACUUUUCAUCUCCAUCACAAGAACUCGCUUUUUUGCUUCCUUUUGUAGAUUUGCCUCCCAACAACUGUCAUCGCCAUUUCUUAUUCUUCCCUUUCCAUCGAGAAGCGUUGUUGUCACUUUCGACAGUGUUGUCGUCACUUUCGACAGUGUCGUCGUUAUUGUUUAUUUCUUUGUUGAGAAGUGUUCUAGGUUCCUAUCUUUUUUUUUCCUCCGCCGAUGUUUUUUUUUUGUGGUGAACAGAAGACAAAGCCAACUAUUUUCUAUGCGUUUUUCCCAAAUAGGUUUGUUCCUUUCUCAACUUUUUCAAUUUUAAAUUUCUAUAAUUUUCUAGUAAUUCUUGUUUCUUACUUAACAAUUUUGAUUCUAGUUCACUUACCUAUAUUUUUAAUUUUUCAAAUAUGGUUAAAUGUGGUUGAAAAAUAAUGAAAAGACUAUCAAAUUAUUAUAAUUUCAUUUAUUGAUUUCAGAUUGAUGUUAGGUUUUUGUUCUCUUUCAAGUUUUUAUUAUUCAUUGAGAAUGUGUUAGACAUGAUAUUAUUAUUUUGCUGUUAGUUUUUUGUGCUCGUUCAAGUUUUUAUGAUUCAAUGUGGUGCAAAGUGGUUAGUUCAAAUUCUACUAUGCUACAUUGCUAUUGUGCUGCAAUAGCGGCUAUUUGACAACACUUUAUACCUAAUAGUGUAUUGUUGAACAAUACCGAUUUCAAAAAAAGAAGAGUGGUUCAAUUAAUUAGUCCAACCAGAUUCACUUUCACUGUUGUAUUCUGAUUUUGACAUUUGAGUAUAAUUUUGAAUCAUUGUUGUUGUAUUAGUUGUUGAGUUGCUAUUUUCCAAAGUUUGAUUUUGGUUGUGAUUAAGGAAAUUAAUAUAUGAGAAAUGUAUACAUAUAUUUAGUACUUUUUCGAUUUAGGAACUCCUAUAAAAUCUAGCCAAAUAGAAAGUUCAUCCUCCAAGAAGACUGAAGAUGUCAUAAAAAAGGAAAGCUCAGAGUAUCCUCUAUCUGAGGAUGAGGAUGAACUCGCUCUGAUUUCCAGAAGAAUUAAGAGGAUGAUAAACAGAAGAGGACAGGAUAAAAGAUAUCCUCAAAAAGAAAAAACUGACAAAAGUCAAAUAACUUAUUUUGGAUGCAACAAUAUUAGAGACUACAAAACUGAGUGUCCUCUAAACAAAAGAAACUCAAAAAGAUUUCCCUUCAAAAAUAAAUCUAUGAUGAUUACUUGGGAUGACACUGACGAGUCAUCCUCUGAACAAGAGAAUGAAGAAGAGAUCAACCUCUAUCUCAUGGCAAAAUCAGAUACUGAAAAGGUAAUCAUCUCAGAACUAUGUCGUACGUGUGAAAAGUUAAAAAUUGAAUUUGACAAUCUUUUAAAUGACUCAAACACCUUAUCUCAUUAAUGUGGUUUUCUCAAAAAUCAAUUUUAUGAAAUAAAGAACCUCAAUGAGGAACUUCAAGCUAAGAAUGAGAAGUAUGAAAAAAUCAUUCUAGAUUUGCAGUUAUCUCAUGAGAAAUUAUCUGAGCAACAUACUUUUUUAAAUUAAAAGAAAGUCAAAAGUCAUCCUCCAGAAGAGGACACGGAAAAGGAAAUCUUGAAAAUAGAAGUUGAAGAAUUAAAAAAUGACAUUAUCAACUUUGUUAAAUCUACUGAAACAUUUCAAAAGAUUAUGAGAUCUCAAUCUGGAAUCUUUGACAAAGCUGGUAUUGGAUUUAAAAGUUCUCAAAAACAAAAAUUAUAUGAAAAUUUUUUCCUGCCAAAAUGUACUUUUUGAAAAAAAACUUGGACAUACUUUCAAAAACUGUCAUGUUAAGAAGAAAGCUGACAACAUAAAGAAAGUAUGUUCAUUUUUGUGGUAUACAUGAGCACCAUGAUCUUGUUUGUUAUCACAAAAGGAAAAUCCUCACAAGAGGAAAAACUAAUCAACAAGGACCCAAUGCUAUAUGGGUACCCAAGUUACUUUUAACCUCUAACACAGGUUCAUCCUCUAAUCAACAAAAGAAAGCCUUGGUACUUGGACAGUGGCAGCUCAAGGCAUAUGACAUGGGAUAAGCACUGCUUUAUUUCCUUGGAGAUAAAGGAUGGAGGAUCAGUCACGUUUGGUAACAAUGAUAAAUCUCAAAUAAAAGGUACAAGUAUUAUUGGUAAAAAUAAUUCUGCUAAAAUUGAAAAUGUUCAGUAUGUGGAUGGUUUAAAACAUAACUUGCUAAGUAUUAGUCAAUUAUGUGAUAGUGGGUUUGAAUUUAUUUUUAAGCCCACUCUAUGCGAGGUUAAACAUUCAUCAUUGGGUAGAGUUUUCUUUUCCGGUUUUAGAAAAAAUAGUUUAUAUGAACUAUAUUUGGAUUAUUUACCUACUAAAUCUUGUUUUGUAUCCAUUGAGAAGGAUAAAUGGAUUUGGCACAAACAAGCUGGACACACAAGCUUAAAUACUAUUUCUAAAUUAGCAAAAUUAGAAUUAGUGAAAGGUCUUCCAAAAAUUAAUUUUGAGAAAAACAAAGUAUGUGAGACUUGUGUCAAAGGAAAACAAGUUAAUAGUAGCGUUCACUCAAAAAAUAUUAUUUCAACAAAUCAUCCUCUUGAACUUAUUCACAUUGACCUCGUUGGUCCUAUCAAAACUCCAAGUCUUAGUGGAAAAAGAUAUAGUUUUGUAAUUGUUGAUCAUUUCUCUCAUUUUACAUGGGUUUUAUUUUUAAAACAUAAAGGUGAAGCUUCUGAGGCAUCCCACCAUUGUUGCAAAAAGAUUCAAAAUGAAAAGGGAUAAAAAAUUGUCUCAGUGAGAAGUGACCAUGGAGGUGAAUUCAAAAAUGAAUCAUUUGAAAAUCUUUUUGAAGAAUAUGGUAUUUCUCACAAUAUUUCUUGCCGAAGAACUCCCCAACAAAAUGGAUUUGUUGAAAGGAAAAAUAGAACUUUACAAGAAAUGGCUAGAACUAUUUUAAAUGAAGCCAACAUUGAAAAAUACUUUUGGGUCGAAGCUAUCAGCACAACUUGUUAUGUUUCAAAUUGUGCAUCCAUUAGAAAAAAUUUAAACAAAACUCCAUAUGAACUAUGGAAGGGCCGAAAAACAAAUAUUCCCUAUUUUCAUAUAUUUGGAUGUUAUUGCUACAUUCUAAAUAACAAAGAAAAAUUGGGAAAAUUUGACCUAAAAUCUGAUAAAGGUAUUUUUCUAGGAUACUCCACAACGUCAAAAAGUUAUAGAAUAUAUAAUCUUAGGACUCAAACUGUGGAGGAAUCCAUGCAUGUUAUUUUUGAUGAGUUUGAUGACUUGUGUUUAGAAAAUAUAGAUAAAUAUGAAGAAGAUGAACAUUCAUCCUCUCAAGUACACAGUCCAAACGAGGAGGAUGAUUCUGAUCCAGCCUCUCAACAACCUCCAAGAGGAUGGAAAAUAGUAACGCAUCAUCCUCCUAAUCUGAUCUUUGGAAAUAUUAUCGAUGGUGUUAGGACCAGAAAUUCUCUAAAAGAAAAUACUAACAUGGUCGUGAUAUCACAAGUUGAACCCAAACCAAUUGAUCAAGCAAUUUGUGACAAGUCAUGGGUUGAAGCCAUGAUGGAGGAUCUAUCACAGUUUGAAAGAAGCAAUGUGUGGAAUCUUGUGCCCCCAUCCUCUGGAACAAAUUGAAUGAGGAUGGAGAGGUAAUUAGAAAUAAAGCAAGAUUUGUGGCACAAGGUUACAACCGACAGGAGGGAAUUGAUUAUGAUGAAAUAAUGCACCAUUGCUCUAUCAACUACAGAGGUUGAAUAUGUAUCAGCAACACAGUGCUGCUCACAAUUACUAUGGAUGAAGAACCAACUAGAGGAUUACUCUCUAAGGUACGCAAAAAUUCUCAUCCUCUGUGAUAAUACAAGUGCUAUUAAUCUUUCAAAAAAACCCUAUACAACAUUCUAGAUCUAAGCAUAUUGAAAUCAAGUAUCAUUUUAUUAGAGAUCAUGUUCAAAAAAUGGACAUAAAAUUAAUUUUGAUUGAAAUUGAAAAUUAGUUGGCUGAUAUUUUUACCAAACUUCUCCAGGAGAAUUGGUUCAAAAAUAUAUAUGAGGAACUCUCCAUCAUUAAUUUAUCCAAAGUUAUUUAAAUAAAAUUUUAUUCAUGAAUAAUUUUUUAUUUAUUUAAGUUUUCUUCUGGGGAUCAUAUCUUAAAAUUGAGAAAUAUCCUCCUCUAUAGGAUGAGCAAAAUCUGAUGAUGUUUGGUCAACUUGAAUAUCAUUGUUUUAAUUUUAAUUUUAGUUUAUGCUUAUUGGUCAAAUUAUUCCUUAUGCAAUAUCAAAUCUGAUCUUUUAAAUAAAGCCUAAGAAUCAGAGGAUAGGUAAACCAACAAAAAAUACAAUGUCAUUUUUGGUGAAACUUCCUCUUGCCACGUCAGACAAAGCAUGCGCAUGCCUUACGUUUCCCAUUAGUCCGCCUUGUGGCAUGGCUCUCAUAUGAGUCCCAUCUCGCAUUUAAUGUGCAGACUGCAAUAAAUGACAUUUAUCACGUUUCCCAUAACCUACCAUAGCUAUCCUCUUUAUUAACUCCUAAUAAUUAUUCCCUCGAUUUUUCAACGGCUACAAAAAUCCUUCAAAUUCUUUGAUCAAAUCACUCCAAAACUCUGAUUAUUUAUCCUCCUCUUGGAGUGGAUAAGCAACCAUCUUAUAAACCCCAGGAAGUCAUCCUCAUGUCUUGCCACAUCAACCUCUUCAACCAGUCCUCCUCGUCCUUCAACCUCGUCCUCCUCUGAUGACUUUUUCUCCGUCCAAAUCGGUGCUUGGAUCUUUCCAAUUUUUUUUUUUAUGGUUGACAAAUUUAGGGGGAGAUAGAUUAUGAUCAUCCUGUUAUCAACUUUUUGUUUAAGAGGAUACUUUUUGAAAUCUUUUUUUCAACCCUCUUGUUUAUGCUAGUUAAUAUGUAUGUCUUUUGAACCACCAUUUUUAAAUAUCAGCCUCAUUAAUAUGAAGUCUCUUUAUGGUUCAAAUUCAUGUUUCAAAACUUUGGCAUAUGUUCACGGGGAGUAAUUUUUUUAAAAAUUUAAAAAAGUUACUCUUAUGAUUUAGGGGGAGCAUAAACAUUUUAUCUCAUAAAUUUUUUAUAUUUAAAAUCAUAAUCUAAAUAAUUUUGUCAUCAUCAAAAAGGGGGAGAUUGUUGAGACAAAAUCUCUCUCAAAUGGUUUUAAUGAUAACAAAAUUAUUUAAAAGAUUAUGAUUGUGGUUAAUGACUAAUAUGUGCUUUUGAGUGAAUUCAUAUAAGAAAACAGGUUAUUAAUCAUUAAGACAAAAAAGAGAAAAAUCUGAUUCAAAUCUGGAGAAUUGGAAUUCAAGAGGAUGAAGCUUCAAAACUGCAAAAUAUUGAUCCUCACCGAAACACAUUCUUUUAUUCAUUAAAGUAAAGGCAAAACAAUAUUAAAGAAUGAAUAAAUAAAGCUUUUGAAGUAAAGAAGUCAGAUGGAAAAAGAAUAGGUACGAGGACGGAUUAUACUAGGAUGGGUCUAUGGUCAAUAUCUUGGAAAGCAACCCAACACUGUUGAAAGCAACCCAUCAUAUCAUGUGCAAAGGCAAAAAAAGCCUACCUAUAUAUCAUUCUUGUAUGAUUGAAAAAAAUAUAGAGUCAAUCUUCAGAAAGGCAACAACAAACAAGCCAAAAAUAGAAGCCUUCACAUGUCUUGAAGAAAGGAAAUUUGACCCACGUGCUUAAGGAUGGUUCUCUAUUGUCAACAUCACUCUCAAAAGUUGAAAAUGACCUAGCACUUAAAAGUUCAGAAUGGUUGUAGCCCACAGUCAAAGAUAUAGCCUUACAUAUCUUGAAGAAUGAGAAAAGAAAAGGACAACUCAAGGCCAAGUUCCAAGGAGGGUGAUCCUCUUGCUCGAGGAUGGACUAAGUCUGUCCAAGGACAGUUGGAUGGCAGUUCUGUCAUUCUUUACAUUUUCUCUUUCUUUUAAUCUACACAAAUUUAAAAGGCUUAAAUAACCAUAAUCGAGUUCGCAUCCUCUCAAAGAUGAUAGCUUUUAAAAAACAGGUGAAAAAUAUUUUUAAACAACAAAAUCCCUAUUCAACCCCUCUUUUAGUGAUAUUUAGCUACAUCAAAUCCAUCUAGUGCUAUUAGAAUGCGCAACGACGAACCACGUAGAAUUGUGCAUAUGAUGUUCUUUUACACACUGCAUUGCCACAACUUUUGUGGGAAAUUUCAUCCUCACUUGGAGAUUGUCAGGAUCUGGAACAAGGUAAGAUUGAUUUUUAGACAUAGAGUUGUCAAAUUCAUCGUCAACGUAAUUCAUGUUGUCAGAGGUUACGUUGCAAAAAUGUGAGGGUGGUCAAAGAAAUAAAUUGUAGUAUAUGGACAUUGUACUACGGGUUCCUAAUCAUCAUCGUCAUUGACAACAACUUCAACAAGAAUGUCAUCCUCAUUCUCACUAAAAUCGCCAACUUCUUCAUUGUGGACACCAACCUCAACAAUGAUAGGACCAUCAUCGUACGGUGCAUUAAGAUCAAUCCUCCAUUGAUUGGUUGGUUCUGAUUUUGUAUUUGUAUUUUAAUUAUAAUAUUUAAUAAAAUUUUAUUAUUUUUAUGAACUCUAUUUUAUUUAAAUUUUUUAAUAAUUAUAAAAAAUAAAAUCUAAUUAGAUGAUUAUUAUAAAAAAAAUUAACAUUGGAUUUAUUUAUUUAACUAAAAUAAUAUUGGUAGUAUGAUGCAUAAUUAGAAAAUAAUGAUAGUAAUAUAGUACAUAAUUAGAAAAUGAUAUUUAAUUUUAUUUUUAGUGGUAGAAUAAAAAAAAACCAAAAAAAGAGACGAUUGUAAUACGCUUUAACUAGAAAAAAAAGAGACGAUUGUAAUAACACCGCCUUAAUCCGCGAAUAACUAUCUAUAUUUAUAUUGAUCAGUUCUGUUCUCAAUCAACACAAGAACAACGUUGUUGUUUACGCACUAACGAUCGGAACGAAAGCUCUCACUUUCACACUCGAUCUCGCUCUCUUCUUCUUUGUCAACCUCUACUUUACAAUCUCUCGUUCUCCCUCUCCCUCUCACUUUUCUCAUUGUUACUUUUUUUUGUUUUACUCUUUUUUGGUUUGUUUGUGUGGCUAUUCUGUGGUUCUUUGAUUCUUUUUUUAGGUUUUUCCUAUCCGUGAUGGAUUCCCCGCCAGGUACUCCGAUUUCAUCACUCUCUCAUACGGUGGCCACUCCGUCACUUCCGUCGGCACCGAAAAAGAAACCCCAACAGUCUAUGGCAAGGUUUAUUCUGCACUCUUUAGAAGAUGUUAGCGAAAUGGUUCAGGAAAUUAUUCUAAGGCGUGAGUACAGCCAAGAAGCAUUGAAUGUCGAGAGAGAAAGAAAAAUGCGCAUUUUGAUGUCACUGCGAUAGUCAUUCAUUGCUUGCGUGAGUAUGAUUCUUGUGUUGGUUGGUAACUUGGUAUGAUUCUCUGUUCCUUUAUUCCUUUCAAUUUAUAUUUGGUAAGAAUCUAAGUUUAUAGAUUUAUAUACGUUUUUAUGCCAAAAUAUAAAAUAUGCCUUCGAUCUUGAUUUUUAUGCUAAAGAAACUACCUAUUUUAUAUUAUGAAUCUAUGAUGAAUGAUGAUACUUCUAUAGACUGAUAUGUGUUAGGUAACAAUUUAUGUGUUUCAAUUGUUUAUGAUUCUCAUUCUAAAAUCUAUAAUAAAUCUCCUAAAGUUAGUCCUCUUUAUCUUUUUACCUUAAUAUUGUUUAUGUUCUGUCAAUGCUCCUCUUGUAACUAUUCGAAUAUUUGAGCACUCACUACCAACAUGUUCUAAUACCCUCUCAUUCACUAUCUUAGGUAUGUUCUUUUCUUUGCCAAAACUAUUUUGAAUCUAUUACUAACUUGAUCAUUGGAGUCUUUGCAGGUACCACACCCAUUGCUCAUGAGCAGGAACAAUUUUGGCAACAACAGUUGGUCAAUCUAAUCUACUUCAUAUUUGGACAAUCAGUCUAGAAAUGAACAUGUAAGUAGUAUCAUAAUUACUGCAUCUCUUGAAUGUAGAAAAAGGUGAGAAAUUUCUGUGAUUCAAUUGUUUAAUACUCUCAUUCUAGAACCUAUCAAUCUCUUAAAAUUAGUCCGCUUUUUCUUUUAUCUUGAUAUUGUUUAUGUUAUGUCAUGGCCCCUUCUUGUAACAAUUUAUCUCUGCAUAAUGGAUCACACAUUUGAUUGCUUUUAUCUGUUGUCGGUCGCUUGUCCUUGUCCUUCUCAACCUCCAAGUGUCGUUCGUCUGCUUGAGGUUGAAAUCGGCCUACAUUCAAGAGAUGUAAGCAUACACGCAGUAUAUUCCACCACGAGCCUUUCUAGAUCAUUACUCCAAAUCCUAAGAUUGAGUAUUUCUUUUUAACACUUGUUAGGAUUAGGCAAUAGUAUAUAAUUGAAACCAAGAGAUCUCUGUUCAACACAUGUCCAAUGCUUCCUCUGCUUACAUCAAGUGACCAUUUUACUUCCUCUGGUUCACAAUAUAUCUGGAUUGAUGUGCAACUUUGAAGUUCUAGGAUGUCAGAUUAUUUCCUUUCUUUGUAGUGUUACAAUAUUGUUUCAUUUGGCCUAUUGUUUUUAUCUUGACCUUAAUUUGUAUAAACUUCAGCUUCCAUGACAUUGUUAUGUUUAUUUUCCAUCCUGGGUUGUUAAUCUACUCUUAAUAAUUAAAAUAAAUAUGUUAACAUCUUAUAUGCAUAUGUUUGGUUUUACUUUUGGAGCAUGUAAAAUUGAUUUAAAUUGAUCUUGACAAGUUUGGUUGUUAUUGAGUAGAAUUGAUUGUCUCCUCUAGAGUUGAUUUUUAGCUUUGGAUUUAUUACUCAACUCACUUUGACAAGCAACAUAAAUUGUUUUAACGUCAACUCACGUUUAAUAAAUAUCAAUUUUAUAUAAUUAAUAGUUAUAUUUUUUUUUACAGAAGAAUAGUAACAAUUUUUAUUGUCAAGUAGUUUUAAUCGUUAUUUUAGCACUUGAAAGUAUAAGAGGCUCAAAAUUGAAUCCUUCUUUUUUUUUUUUUUAUUGUUUUCACUUAUGUUGAUGAUCUUGUUAUUGUUGGAACUUGUCUACUUGAUAUACAAAGUAUUAAAAUAAAAAUAAAUAUAUUUAAUGAUCAAACUUUAUAUAUAUUUAUUUGUAGGAAAAUAAAUUUAAUUCACACUAGAAUAAAAAUAAUAUAAUCAAAUUUAAUGAUUAAUAAAACAAAAAGUACAUUAAUAAUAUACAUAAAAAUUAUAGAAAUUAAUGAAAAAUCACCUAAUCAAAAUCUUAAUCUUAACAAUCAAACUAUAGUCUUCUACCGGUCAAUGGCUAAGAAUAAUGUGAUAUGUACGAUCUUUAAUGUCAUCCAUCUUCGAAAAAAAGAAAUAUUUGUUGAUGUUCGUUCAUAUCGAUUAUAGGUGAUAUUUGAUAUGACGAAUUCAACUACGUAUUAACAAGUCAUUUAUAAAGUUGAGAUAGUGUUGAAUUUGGUGUAAGCCUCCAUAAGUCUGUUUUCUAAAAUAUGGUAUCGACAAAACGAUUACUAGAUAAAAAGUUGGAACGUGUUUACUUGAUAUACAAAGUAUUAAAACAAUUACUAGAUAAAAAGUUCAACAUUGAAGAUUUUAAAACAUUAAAAUAUCUUUUGGAUUUUGAGGUGCUUACCCAAAGGAAAUAUACCCUUGACUUACUUGAAUAUCAGGGUUGUUGGCUCCUAAACCAACUUCCAAAUCCAUGAAUUUGGUUUAAAGCAUUGUUUAAAUUUUUGACAGCCCUUAUCUGAUCCAAUUAAUUUUUGAAUCUAAAAAUUUUAGUAUAUAUAUAUUGACAAUAAAAUAAAUUUAAUUCACCCUAGAAUAAAAAUGACAUACAUAAAAAUUGUAGAAAUUAAUGAAAAAUCACAUAAUCAAAAUCGGAAUCUUAACAAUCAAACUAUAGUCUUCUACCAGUCAAUGGCUAAGAAUAAUGUGAUAUGUACGAUCUUUAAUGUCAUCCAUCUUUGAAAAAAAAAAAAUAUUUGUUGAUGUUCGUUCAUAUCGUUUAUAGGUAAUAUCUGACAUGAGGAAUUCAACUAUAUAUUGACAAGUCAUUUGUAAGAUUGAUUCCUCUCUUCUCCUUUUUCUAUUCAUCUUUAUGCUGCAUUAAGGAUUCUAUAUUAUUUGAACGUAAACUAGAAAGAUUUUUCACAACAACAUCCAUCAUUUUGUUCCAACUCUCCAAUUGCCCUAUUACUAGGGUAAUUUUUCUGGUUUUUGUGUUGUAGUAUUUAAUUGGGACGACGUGUUUAAGGCAAAUUGUAAUGGUGAGAUUAAUUGGGAUUGGAUAGCGGGUCUUAUUGUUUUUGGUUGUAUGUAAGUUGUCUGGUAAAAAGAUGGUAAUGCUAAUGGGGCUAAUGGAGUAAACAUGUUUUGGUUUGGUGGAGGAAGAAGAGAGAGUUUGUAAUACAUGUUUCAUAGUGGGUGUUUUUGUAUUUUUUUUUUCACUAAUUGGGGAUUCAUACUUAUCUUUAUGACUCAUUGUGCUUUCCCUGUAAAAAUUCUCUUGUAAGAAAAUUUGGUAAUGAGUUUUUCUCUCCUUUAAUAUGUUCUAUUUGGAAAUCAAAACAAGAAAGUAAAGAUUGCCAUCUAGGAAAACUAUGUUUAGAAACCAGGUUUUUAACUUCCUUUUGCAAAACAUCUUUUGCUGCUUUAUAAUCAGUUUUUAAUAAAAAUUUCUUCGAAACAGUACUAUAUUUUAGUUGAGUUGUUUUCCAUAUUCCAGAGUAAUAUCUCACUAUUUGCUCUUUUGGGUUUCCUGGUAAUUUUUGUUUUAACACUCCACCAUAACCUAACUCUGAUGAGUCAGUCUCUACUACUAAUAGGGCUUGAGGGUCUAGAAUUCCUAAACAAGGUAAUUUUUUAAUUAUUUGUUUUAAGGUUUUGACACUAUCGGCCGUAGUCUCAUCCAAUUUGGGUGGAUUUUUUCUUAGUCUUUUAAAUAAAGGUGAACAUAUAAUCCUAAGGUUGGGAAUAAAGUCUGCUACAUAAUUUACACAUCCUAAGAAUCUUUGCAAUUGAGUUUUGUCUUUUAAUUCAUUAUGAAAUUUUUCUCCAAAUUCUAUUGACCUACUAAUUUGUGUUAUUGUUCCUUGAUAAAUGUUGAAUCAUAAAAAUCUAAUAUUAUCUUGAAAUAAUUUUAUUUUCUUGGCUGACACCACUAAUCCUUUUUCUUUAAUAAUAUUAAAGAAUUUUUUCUAGAUGUUCAAAGCGUUAAUUAAUACUUUUUGAAAAUACUAAUACGUCAUCUAAGUAUACAAUAGUAAAAUGUUGUAAUUAUUUAAAAUGUCAUUCAUAAUAUUUUGGAAUUCACUGGGUGCAUUCUUUAAUCCGAAGGGCAUAACAUUCCAUUCGUAAUGUCCAAAGGGUACUACAAAGGCUUUUUUAUAAUUUUCCUCUUCUUUUAUUUGUAUUUGGUAAUAUCCUGAUUUCAUGUCAAAUUUAGAUAAUACAUAUGAACUGUGUAAUCUACUUACUAAAUCGUUUUUAUUGGGUAUUGGAUAUCUAAUCCGUUGUAAUACUUUAUUUAAUGGUUUAUAAUUUAUAACUAAUCUGGGGGCUCCUCUUUCUAAUUUUGUUGAGUUCAUUACAUAGAACCCUACACAACUCCAGGGAGACUUACCAGGUCUUAUUAAUCCUUUAUCUAAGUAUUCUUGUGUUUCCUUUUUACAAUAAUCUAGGUAUUGUUGAUUCAUUUGUAUUGGUCUUGCCUUAGUGGGAAUGUUUUGAAGUAACAAUGUCGAUUUACAAGAAAGGGGGGUUUGAAUUGUAAAUAUGCCUUUUAAAAAUUCCUGUUAAAACUUAAGAAAAUAACUCAAGAAUGAUCUUGGUUAUAAAACAGAAAACGAAGAACGUUCUUGGUUUAUGUUAUAAAACAGAGAACGUUCCUAAAUUAGCAGAAAAUCAGUUUCUAUUUUAUCUUAAAUGAUUAAUGCAGUAUAAUAAAGAAAAAGAAAGGAGAGAGAAUACCACACAAAGAUUUAUCCUGGUUCACUCAACGUGGUUUACGUCCAGUCCUCACACUGUGAGAUUUUCCAUUAAGUGUUUAAAAUGAAGAACCUUCUUAAUCUUACAACACCUAGAAUAGAUCAACCUUGAUCUAUUUCUUUCUUAAUUACUUUCCACCCAGAAAGCAAUCACAACACCUAUCUAACCUUGAUAGGAAGCAAUCUUAAACAAACUAUAAAGAAACUCUUAUAGUUUGAGUUUUACAAAUGAUUGAAAUUUGACAGAAUCUGAUAUUGCUCAACUCUUGUUUGAGAAUAGAUUCUUUACAGAGUAUCUAAUGACAAUUUCGCAACUGAUAUAUGAAUGAGCAGCAGUGGCUGUUUCGCGAAUUUGCAGAAAGUAAUGUUUCCUCUGUUUUGCAGAAUUUCAAGUUUAAGUGUGAUUGUAUAAUGUUGAUUACUUGGCACUUGAAUUUCUUGCUGAGAACUGAGAUAAUGGCCUUCUAUUUAUAGGCUGGAGAUGUACGAAAUAGCUAUUGGAGAGGUCAUGCUUUUUUGACUAAAACAUUAUUUUAGAAUAAAAAUAAUACUUCUUUGAAAAAGCUUUUUGACUUUUAAUGGUUUAGCAUUGAAAGCAUUUAUGUCCUUUCUUUGACGUUUCUUCAUUGAUCUUGGAUGGUACAUUAUCUGUCUCGAGUCUUGAGUGUAGCUAGAGAAGGUUGGAGAAGAUUUGAAGCGAAUUGCAGACUGAAACAGAGAGGAUGCAAGGCUGUUGUUGAUGUGCAGAAAACGGAGAAUGAUUAACGUUCUUGGUUUUAUCAGUUUGAACGUUCUUGAGCUUCAAUAAUCAUUCUGGAGUUCCCGUUUUAAAUGUUCUGUAUUUCCUUUGUUCUUGUCUUGUCAUAUACCCAGUUUGAUCAAGUUUUCUUGACAUUUGAAUUUUGGAAUUCUUAGGUCGUCAUGACUUUUGUCCAUCUUUGAACCCUUUGAUCUUUGUGAUCAANNNNNNNNNNNNNNNNNNNNNNNNNNNNNNNNNNNNNNNNNNNNNNNNNNNNNNNNNNNNNNNNNNNNNNNNNNNNNNNNNNNNNNNNNNNNNNNNNNNNNNNNNNNNNNNNNNNNNNNNNNNNNNNNNNNNNNNNNNNNNNNNNNNNNNNNNNNNNNNNNNNNNNNNNNNNNNNNNNNNNNNNNNNNNNNNNNNNNNNNNNNNNNNNNNNNNNNNNNNNNNNNNNNNNNNNNNNNNNNNNNNNNNNNNNNNNNNNNNNNNNNNNNNNNNNNNNNNNNNNNNNNNNNNNNNNNNNNNNNNNNNNNNNNNNNNNNNNNNNNNNNNNNNNNNNNNNNNNNNNNNNNNNNNNNNNNNNNNNNNNNNNNNNNNNNNNNNNNNNNNNNNNNNNNNNNNNNNNNNNNNNNNNNNNNNNNNNNNNNNNNNNNNNNNNNNNNNNNNNNNNNNNNNNNNNNNNNNNNNNNNNNNNNNNNNNNNNNNNNNNNNNNNNNNNNNNNNNNNNNNNNNNNNNNNNNNNNNNNNNNNNNNNNNNNNNNNNNNNNNNNNNNNNNNNNNNNNNNNNNNNNNNNNNNNNNNNNNNNNNNNNNNNNNNNNNNNNNNNNNNNNNNNNNNNNNNNNNNNNNNNNNNNNNNNNNNNNNNNNNNNNNNNNNNNNNNNNNNNNNNNNNNNNNNNNNNNNNNNNNNNNNNNNNNNNNNNNNNNNNNNNNNNNNNNNNNNNNNNNNNNNNNNNNNNNNNNNNNNNNNNNNNNNNNNNNNNNNNNNNNNNNNNNNNNNNNNNNNNNNNNNNNNNNNNNNNNNNNNNNNNNNNNNNNNNNNNNNNNNNNNNNNNNNNNNNNNNNNNNNNNNNNNNNNNNNNNNNNNNNNNNNNNNNNNNNNNNNNNNNNNNNNNNNNNNNNNNNNNNNNNNNNNNNNNNNNNNNNNNNNNNNNNNNNNNNNNNNNNNNNNNNNNNNNNNNNNNNNNNNNNNNNNNNNNNNNNNNNNNNNNNNNNNNNNNNNNNNNNNNNNNNNNNNNNNNNNNNNNNNNNNNNNNNNNNNNNNNNNNNNNNNNNNNNNNNNNNNNNNNNNNNNNNNNNNNNNNNNNNNNNNNNNNNNNNNNNNNNNNNNNNNNNNNNNNNNNNNNNNNNNNNNNNNNNNNNNNNNNNNNNNNNNNNNNNNNNNNNNNNNNNNNNNNNNNNNNNNNNNNNNNNNNNNNNNNNNNNNNNNNNNNNNNNNNNNNNNNNNNNNNNNNNNNNNNNNNNNNNNNNNNNNNNNNNNNNNNNNNUGUUGCGCAUAUGAGAUAAAUUUUUGGUGGAAAACUUGGAAAUUUUGAUCAAAGAUUUUUCAGAUGCAAGAGAUACUCCAAAAUGCCUGAAGAUUUUAGUCAGGACCAUGCCAUAAGGCACAAUAUUCUUUUUGUAAUCUUUCUGGGCUGCACAGAUCAUGUGCUGGAGAAUAACAUGAGGUAAGUUCAAUCUCUUGCAGUUUAACAGAUGAUAGAUGAGCAAGGCGUCAUUAUCAGAAACGUACUCAUGACUUCCAUAGUGUGGAAGUAGAGUAUGUUGACACAUAUUGUUGAAGACUUUAGGAAGAGGUUUUAAGUAAGUGGCUAAAUAACGUGUGGAGUUUUCUUCAAACAGCUCGGCCAAAACAUCUGUCUUUCUAAGACCCAGAGCUGAAUACCAGUUGUCACCAAAGACAGAUGGCCCUUCUGUUGGAAGCUGAAGGAUGUUGGCCAAAAUGUCUGGAGUCAAUCUGAUUUCCACUCCCUUUAUUUUUGAGAUAAAAAGAGAUUUGUCAGCAAAGGUUUUGGCAUUGCAGUAGAAAGCACGAACGACUUCUGGGAAAAAGGAUUCAGAGAUCUUUAAGAAUGAAGUCCAUCCAAGAGCAUCCGUAUGGUGCUGAACAGCAUUGCCAUCCACAACAAGAUUAUCAAAAACAAAGAUUCUUCAUAUCCCAACUGGGCGUUGAACCCAUUUUUCAUUGAAGAGUUUUGAUUUUGCAAGGGAGAUUAGAGGAGGAGCAUUCUGUUUUGGUUUCUUAGUUGGGGGAGAUGGUUCAGAUUCAGAGGAUGUGGAUAUAGGGGAAGAUCGUUUGGAAUUCUUUUGUGGAGAAGAUUUUGGUGGAGGGGCAGUCGGAGAACGUUCUUGUGGUGGGGAACGUUCUUGUGGAGGAGCAGUCGGAGAACGUUCUUGUUCUGGAGAGAUGGGUUUCUGACUGGUUUUUAGGUUUUGUUUUGGGGCAAGCGUUUUCUUUCUUUGAGGAUUUGGGAGAUUUUUUCGAGCAAGAAAUUGAGCAAUAGUGAUUGUGUUUUUGGUUCUCAUGGGUUUAGUUGGUGGUUUUGGUUGAGAGAGUGGUUCUUUUUGGUUUGGAGAAGGGGAAACAAUGUCAUUUAUCGAUCUCCGUUUUUGAUGGGGAGGAGUUGCGUGUGAAGGUUCAGAAGAGAAAGCCGAUUUUGAGGGUGUCGAAGGGUUAGUAGUUGAUGGUGGAUUUUGUGGUGGAGGUGUUGGUACUAUAGGCAUCGUGUUUCUUUGUGGUUCAGUUUGUGUUGGUGAUUUUUCUAUUGGGGGACACGAAUCAGAACAGUCAUCACUCUCAAAGUCUGAAAUGAUGAAGUAAAAUGGCUUAGGGUUCAUGGAUUUCGACGUACCAAUACCAGACUGGACGCGCAUGGAGCGGCGUGGAGGAGUGAUUCUGGUGCGAAGAUGGGGAGGCACUUGAGCGUAGUUUGGUAUAGGACAAGUGUAUAGUGGUGGAAGAAAGGUAGACAGAGGAAUGAGGUUUAGAACUUCUUGACUAUUUUGAGAAGAUGGAGAGGCAGAAGAUGUGUGUGGUGGUGAAGGGCGAGGUGGUGGAGAGGGAGAACGCUCUCUGGAUUGGUAUGAGGAAGAUGAAGAGGGUGGUGUACAGGGAGAGGCAUUUUCUCGUGCAGACUGUUUGGUUCGAGCCAUUUUUGUUUUUCUGGGAGGAAGAUGAUGAAGAAGAUGAACAGUGAACGUGAUUUAGAGAAAGAGAGAGAUGAUUCCAGCUUUUGGGGAAAAGAAGGUGGGAAGAGAAACAGUUUUCUGACUUGAGAAGAUGGAGAGAAAAAGGUGGAGUAAUGAUGAGUUUGUACCUAGGGAAAUGGGAAAAGCAUUUUGGGGGAUUGGAGAGUGUAUGUGUCAGCAUUCUAACGCCAAACACAAGGGCACGUGCAAUAAAUGCCAAGAUUUGCCUUUUUUACUUUUGAGAGGGAAAAGCAGACUGUUGCUUUUUCCAGAACGGAGAAUGAUGAAUCGCAAAACGGAGACUGAUAAACGAUCUCUGUUUUCUGCAGAAGCAGAUUUUAACCAGAAUUUUCUGGAUUUUUCAUGAUUCUCAGUUUUUCUUUGAUUGAAUUAAAACUAUCCUCCACAAGAGGCUUAGUGAAAAUGUCAGCAAGUUGAUUUUGAGUAUCAACGAAGAUUAAUUCAACGUCUUUCUUAUUGACAUGAUCACGAACGAAAUGAUGUUUUAUUUCAAUAUGCUUUGAUCUAGAAUGCUGAAUAGGAUUUUUAGACAGAUUUAUAGCACUUGUAUUAUCACAAUAAAUUGGAAUAUUGGAAUAGCUUACAGAGUAAUCUUGAAGUUGGUUCUUGAUCCACAAAACUUGUGAACAGCAGUUUGCAGCUGACACAUAUUCAGCCUCAGUUGUGGAUAGUGCUAUGGUGUUCUGUUUUCUGCAUGACCAACUGAUUAAUGCUUCACCUAGGAACUGACAUGCUCCACUUGUGCUUUUUCUUUCAACUUUGUCUCCAGCAUAAUCAGCAUCACAGUAUGCUAUAAUAUCAAAAUGGGAACCUUUUCUAUACCAAAGACCAAGAUUAGUUGUUCCAACGAGAUAUCUAAAUAUGCGUUUAACAGCAGUUAAGUGGGAUUCUUUUGGCGCUGAUUGAAAUCGAGCACAUAAUCCUACUGCAAACACAAUAUCUGGUCUGCUAGCAGUUAGAUAUAGCAGAGAACCGAUCAUUCCACGAUAUUCUUUUUCAGAGACAGAUUUGCCAUUUUCAUCUUUUUCUAAGGAAGUGGAUGGAUGCAUGGGAGUUGUCAUAAUUUUUGACUCAUUCAUUUUAUAUUUGAUCAACAGAUCUUUGAUAUAUUUUUCUUGACAAACAAAAAUGCCUUUUUCGUAUUGUUUGAUUUGUAAACCAAGAAAAUAUCUUAAUUCCCCCAUCAUGCUCAUUUCAAAUUCACUUUGCAUAAGUUUUGAGAAAUCUUCACAUAGUUUUUCAUUUGUUGAUCCAAAAAUGAUAUCAUCCACAUAUACUUGAACAAUGAGUAAUUCAUUUCCUUCAGUUUUCUUGAAUAAAGUAGUAUCGAUUUUUCCUCUUUGAAAAUUGUUCUCGAUCAGAAAUGAACUCAGUCUUUCGUACCAUGCCCUUGGUGCUUGUUUUAAGCCAUAAAGAGCUUUGGUAAGUUUGAAAACAUGAUUUGGUUUUGCUUGGUUUUCAAAACCUGGGGGCUGUUUUACAUACACUUGUUCAUUUAAAAAACCAUUUAAGAAAGCACUUUUCACAUCCAUUUGAAACAGUUUGAUGAGUUUAUGAGAUGCAUAUGCAAGAAGUAUUCGAAUAGCUUCUAACCUUGCAACUGGAGCAAAAGUUUCAUCAUAGUCUAUACCUUCUUGUUGAUUGUAGCCUUGAGCUACUAAUCUUGCUUUGUUUCUCACGACCUUACCUUCUUCAUCAAGCUUGUUUCUGAAUACCCAUCGAGUGCCAAUAACAGUUUGAUCUAAAGGAUCUGGUACUAGAGUCCAAACUUCAUUUUUCUCAAACUGUAGAAGUUCUUCCUUCAUGGCGUUAAUCCAAGAUUGAUCAGUAAUAGCAUCUUUGAUUGACUUUGGUUCAAUCUGAGAUAUCAUUGCCAUGCUGUCGUCAUCAUUUUUGAAUGAUCUUCUGGUUCGGAUUCCAUCAGCUGUGUCUCCAAUGAUCUGAGUUUGAGGAUGAUCUCCAAUGGUUUUCCAGCUUUUUGGUGGAGAAUGAAACGGAGAUUGUUUAUCAAUCUCUGUUUUCUGCAGACUUGUUUCCUGCUGUGUUUCAUUUUGAGUUUCUUCUUCCUCAUCCUUUUUACUUAUAUCUAGAUCAUCAAACUCAUCAAACAAUAUAUGCAUACUAAUUUCAACAACAUUAGUUCUUAAAUUGAACACUCUAUAACCUUUAGAUUCGGUUGAGUAUCCAAGAAAGAUCGCUUUAUCGGAUUUUGCAUCAAAUUUUCCAAUAGGAUCUUUGUUGUUUAGUAUGUAACAGUAACAACCAAAAAUAUGAAAGUAAGAAAUGUUUGGUUUUCUGUUUUUCCAGAUUUCGUACGGAGUUUUGUUGAUGAUUUUUCUGAUAGAUACACGAUUCAAGAUAUAGCAAGAAGUGUUUAUGGCUUCUGCCCAAAAAUAACUUUCAACAUUUGAUUCUUCUAAAAUAGUUCUUGCCAUUUCUUGUAGUGUUCUAUUCUUUCUUUCAACAACUCCAUUUUGUUGUGGAGUUCUUGCACAUGAAAGAUUGUGAGAUAUACCAAGUUCAUCAAAAAAGCUUUUGAAUGAGGCAUUUAUGAAUUCUCCUCCAUGAUCACUCCUUACAGAGAUGAUGCUGGAGUCCUUUUCAUUCUGCACCUUUUUACAAAAUGUUUUAAAUGAUUCAAAUGCAUCAUCUUUUUGUUUUAAAAACAGAACCCAUGUAAAUCUUGAGAAAUCAUCAACAAUAACAAAACCAUAUUUCAUUCCUCCUAGACUUGUUGUUUUGACAGGCCCGAAUAAAUCUAUGUGAAGUAGUUCAAGAGUUCUUUUUGUUGUUACAAAAUCUUUUGUAUGAAAGCUGCUCUUGACUUGCUUACCUUUUGCACAAGCUUCACAGAUUUUGUCUUUCUCAAAAUUAAGUUUUGGUAAACCUCUAACAAGAUCAAGUUUGGAGAUUUUUGAAAUAGUUUUCAUGCUGAUAUGUCCAGCCCUUUUAUGCCAGAUCCAUUUAUCUUUAUUGAUUGAUAUAAAGCAUGAUUCAUCAGGUAAUUCAUCCAAAUAUAUCACAUAUAAAUUUUUCUUUCGCUUACCAGAGAACAUAAUUUUUCCAGUUCUGGCCAACUUGAUUUCACAUACCUUUGGCUUGAAAGUGACUUCGCAUCCAUUGUCGCAUAACUGACUUAUGCUUAAUAAAUUGUGUUUCAAUCCUUCCACGUAUUGGACAUCAUUUAUUUGAGCAGAGUUUGUCUUACCAAUUGUUCCAUUUCCCUUAAUUUGAGCUUGAUCAUCAUUUCCAAAUGUGACCGAACCACCAUCCUUCUUGCUGAAGGUUAUGAAACAAUUUCUAUCUCCUGUCAUGUGCCUUGAACAGCCACUGUCCAAGAACCAAGGCUUUCUCUUUGUAUUUUGAAAACCAACCUGCAGGUGAUAUCAUUCCAGUUUUAGGUACCCACUUUGUUUUGGGUCCUUGAGAGUUAGUUUUUAAGUGGUAUAUCAUUCUUGUUUUGGAAACAGCUGUGUUGUUUGUUGAUUUUGAAAUGGGUUUAGCAAUAUAUGAUUUAGGAGAGUUGAACUUUGGUUUAACAGAUGUUUUGAAACGUUCAACUUGUAACCUUGAACUUUCUCUGUUUGGGGAACAAACUGGAGAACAUUCUCCGUUUUGCUGUUUUUCUGAAACAAUCUUGACAGGAUGAUUCUCAUGUUUAAAAAGCUUCUUCUUUUCGAUUUUUUCAUCCCUUUUCCUGAAGUAGCAUGCAAACUCUAGAUGUCCAAGUUUUCUACAGUAUGAGCAUCUAGUCUUGCAUUUUUCUUCCUUUCUUUCUGGGACAAAGAAGUUUUCAUAAAGUUUGGUUUUUUGAGUUUGAUUGAAACCAAGACCAGCUUUAUCAAAAAUUCCUAUUUGAGAUCCCAUGAUGUUAUGAAAAGUUUCAGUGGCUUUAAUGAAGUUCAGUAAAUCAGUUUUGAGAAGUUCGUUUUCAUUUUUAAGUUGAACGUUCUCCGUUUGUAGCGCAGAAUGUUCUUGACAUUCUUCACUUUCAAAAACUCUUGUUUCUUUCAAUUCUUGAAUCAUCUUUUUUAACAAAUUAUUUUCAGUUUGAUUUCUUUCCUUCUCUUCUUUCUCUUUAUAAAACUGUUCUUUCAGAGAACUACAUUUUUGAAUAAGGAGAUUUGAGUCAUUUAGCAAGUUAUCAAAUUCAUUUCCCAUUUGUUGACAUAAAUGACAUGGUUCAGAAUUCAUUACCUCAUCUUCCUCUGUUUUUGCCAUCAAGCAUAUGUUGGCUUCUUCUUCCUCUUCUUCUGUUUCUGAUUCCUCUGAAUCAUCCCAUGUUGCCAUCAUUGAUUUCUUUUUGAAGGGAAAUCGUUUUGGUGGAUUUUUGUUUGAUGGACAUUCUGCCUUGUAAUGUCCCAAUUUGUUGCAUCCAAAGCAUGUGACUUGACUCUUGUCAAUCUCUGUUUUAGGAUUUCUGUUUUGAAAUCCCUUUUUGAUUUGAUCUCUUCUUCUCAUCAUUCUUUGAAUUCUUCUAGUGAGAAGCGCGAUUUCAUCAGCAUCUCCUUGUUCAUUCUCUUCUGAUUCCUCUUCAACUGGAACUGUGAUUUUUUCUUGAGAGACUUUCAGUGCUAUUGCCUUUCCUUUCUUGACUGGUUUGUCUUCUUGCAAUACUAUCUCAUGAGCUCUUAGAGUUCCAAUUAGUUCUUCCAGAGGCAGUGACUCAAGGUUCUUGGCUUGGCUUAUAGCUGUCACCAUUGGUCUCCAAAUGAUUGGGAGACACCUCAUGAUUUUUCUUACUCUUUCUUGCACAGUAUAGGCUUUGCCAAGAGAACGCAUUUCAUUUACUAUUGUGGUGAAUCUUGAGUACAUUUCAUCAAUGGUUUCUCCUUCUUGCAUUUCGAACAAUUCGAAUUUCCUUAUACCAAUGUCUAUCCUUGUUUCUUUGACAUGGCUUGUUCCUUCAUGGUGAGUUUGCAAUGUAUCCCAGACUUCUUUUGCAGUUGUGCAUUCAUCUACCCUUUCACUUUCUUCCCUGCUUAAAGCACAUGAUAAGAAUAAUUGAGCUUUAGAAUUUAGAAGUACCUUAGCUUUAUCUUCUGCUGUCCAAUCUGCUUCCUUUUUUAGAGCAGAAUUCAAGUCAUCUUGAUCGACCCUUGGUGUGAAAUCUCCAUCUGUGAUGAUGCGCCACAUUCCUGUGUCUUGAGAUUUUAAGAACAACUGCAUUUUGUUUUUCCAAAAAUAAUAGUCUGAUCCAUCAAAGAAUGGAGGUCGAUUUGAGGAUCCUCCUUCAACAAUGUAUUUUGCUUUCGACAUUCUUCUAGAUCUUUUCUCUAACACUUGUUAGGUGUUUUUGAACUUUUUAGAGACCGAGCUCUGAUGCCAAUUGAAGUAACAAUGUCGAUUUACAAGAAAGGGGGGUUUGAAUUGUAAAUAUGCCUUUUAAAAAUUCCUGUUAAAACUUAAGAAAAUAACUCAAGAAUGAUCUUGGUUAUGAAACAGAAAACGGAGAACGUUCGUGGUUUAUGUUAUAAAACAUAGAACGUUCCUAAAUUAGAAGAAAAUCAGUUUCUAUUUUAUCUUAAAUGAUUAAUGCAGUAUAAUAAAAAAAGAGAAAGGAAAAAGAAUACAACACAAAGAUUUAUCCUGGUUCACCCAACGUGGGUUACGUCAAGUCCUCACACUGUGAGAUUUUCCACUAAGUGUUUAAAAUGAAGAACCUUCUUAAUCUUACAACACCUAGAAUAGAUCAACCUUGAUCUAUUUCUUUCUUAAUUACUUUCCACCCAGAAAGCAAUCACAACACCUAUCUAACCUUGAUAGGAAGCAAUCUUAAACAAACUAUAAAGAAACUCUUAUAGUUUGAGUUUUUACAAAUGAUUGAAUUUGACAGAAUCUGAUAUUGCUCAACUCUUGUUUGAGAAUAGAUUCUUUACAGAGUAUCUAAUGACAAUUUCGCAACUGAUAUGUGAAUGUGCAGCAGUGGCUGUUUCGCGAAUUGCAGAAAAUGAUGUUGCCUCUGUUUUGCAGAAUUUCAAGCUUAAGUGUGAUUGUAUAUUGUUGAUUACUUAGCACUUGAAUUUCUUACUGAGAACUGAGAUAAUGGCCUUCUAUUUAUAGGCUGGGGAUGUACUGGAUAAGUACGAAAUAGCUGUUGGAGAUGCCAUGCUUUUUUGACUAAAACAUUAUUUUAGAAUAAAAAUAAUACUUCUUUGAAAAAGCUUUUUGACUUUUAAUGGUUUAGCAUUGAAAGCAUUUUUAUCCUUUCUUUGACGUUUCUUCAUUGAUCUUGGAUGGUACAUUAUCUGUCUUGAGUGUAGCUAGAGAAGGUUGGAGAAGAUUUGAAGCGAAUUGCAGAACAGAGAGGAUGCAAGGCUGCUGUUGCUGUGCAGAAAACGGAGAAUGAUUAACGUUCUUGGUUUUAUCAGUUUGAACUUUCUUGAGCUUCAAUAAUCAUUCUGGAGUUCCCGUUUUGAAUGUUUUGUAUUUCCUUUGUUCUUGUCUUGUCAUAUACCCAGUUUGAUCAAGUUUUCUUGACAUUUGAAUUUUGGAGUUCUUAAGCCGUCAUGACUUUUGUCCAUCUUUGAACCCUUUGAUCUUUGUGAUCAACUAGCCUUUUUGAGCUUGGAUGAAUCCUACUUGUUCCUUUCCAUGUACUGAUUAGAUAUGAACACAUUUCCAGGACAGAUUCUUUGUUAACGAUGUAGAUAAACUUUGAACAACAUGUUGUGAUAGAUAAUUCGGUGAAGCUGAAGAUCAUUCUCUGUUUAUGAUGCAGAAUGAUCUUGUUGUUGUCUUUUCUUGUAUUUGCUUGAUUCUGCUCUUAAUUAAAACCACUCAAGAAUACAAGUUAAAUUAACAUAACAUUUAGAAUCAUAAUUAACAUACUUAAUUAACCUUUGUUUAUUUUCAUCAAAACUUUUAAAAUAGAGAGUUUGUCUCAACAUGUUUCACUCAUUAGAACUGGGUUCAUAAGGAAGUGAGACCACAUGCUUCUUUCUUGUCCAGAAAGCAUUGGGGUGAUCUGCACAAAUUUCUUUUUCAAAUUUAUCUUGUAUAAUUUUAUUUUGUAAUUGUUCUUCUAUUCUUUUAUAAUGAAUCUCUUUGUUUAUCAUUCCUAUUUGUUUCUUCUUUUGAGAGAUUAAAUUAAUUUUAUUAUGCUUGAUGUCGAUGCUUCCUGUAACAUUUAAUUAUUUAAUUUUGGGUUUUUGAACAACUUCAAAUUUUAUUGUUUUUCCUAAUGCUUUUUUAGUAAGACCUUCAUGUGAUACAGUGAAUGGGUAUAUUAAUGCUAAGAAAGGGUUUUCUAUAAUUACACUUUCUCUAAUGUCUUUUACUAAUAAAUUGAAGUAUGAUAACAAAUUCCAUUUUUACAUACCUUUGCAUCAAGUAAUUUAUAAGUAACACCUAAUCUAGAACCAUUGGCUCCACUUAAUCUUUCUAGGGUUUUUUUGUGAUAUUUAGUGGGUAUUAAUCCUUCUUGGAUACAAUUAGAGUCUGCACCAGAAUCAAAUAAUGCAAUAAACUCAAAUUUUUUAUUUUUAAUAAUUAUAGUUAUUGGACAGUACCAUUUGUGUACAAUUAAUUUAUUUAACAAAAAUAAAUAAGGUUUUUUUUUCUUUUAUAUCAUUAUUAUUACUACUACUUUCUAACUUAUGUUGUUGUUCUGAUAUACUUUUUCCUUUUAAUUCUAAAUACUUAACAUCUAAUUCUAAAUCCUUUUGUUUUAAUAAUUGAAUUUAUUGUUUUUAUAGAAGUAAUUUCAUUCUGCAAGUCUUUAAUAGUAAUUGGUGGGGUAAUAGUGGGUUUAAAUCAAUUCAUUAUUUAUUUAAUUCUACUUUAUGAACUAUUUCAUUUUCUAUUUGUUCUUUUUCUAUUAUUCCUUGUAUCUAAAUCAUAAAUUCUUCCUUUUGAUUUGAAUCAGGCAAUUUUCUUAAUACUUCUAUAAGAUUACUAACUUGAUAUGUAGUAAUCAUAUUAAUUCCCUUAGUACAAUCAUUACAGUUACAUAAUUCUGGACCUAAACAAUAAUUUUCUUCUGAACUUUCUCCUAAUUCUGAUUUUUCUGAUAUAUUAUUAAAAUAUUCUUCUUCAUAAGAUGAUUCUUCCGAAGAACUAGAGGAUUCAUCAAUCAACAUAAUUCCUUUUAAGAUAUUAAUAAGACUUCUUUUAAUUCUUUUUGUAUUUCUAAUUUACAGAUUUCAUUAAUUUUUUGUUUUACUCUACAAUUUUUUGCAUAAUGUUCUAGUCUUCCACAUUUAAAACAUUUAAUUUAUUGUUUAUUAAAGACUUUUUUAUUAGUUCUUUUAACUUUUUGUGUUUUCUUUAUUGGUUCUUUUGGGGUGUAAUUAUUAUUAUAAUUUUUCUUUUUUUUAUAAUGUCUAAAUGUUUGUUUUGGAUAUCUUUUAUUUAUGUUUUUACCAGGAGCUUUAAUCAUCUCUAUUCCGAAUUGUUCACAAAAUGAUCUUAAUUCUUUUCUACUUUGUACUACUCCUCAUCUAAUUUUAUUCUGUAUUUUAAAAUCUGUGCAUAUUCCUAUUUCGAUUUCUACUACGUAAUUCGAUAUUUGUCUUAAGGUUAAUGUUCCAUAAGGAAUUAUUCCAUUAAAUUUUGAUUUAAUAUUCAUUUUAACUUUUUUACUAAAUAAUUUAGGUAAUCCUGCUAAAAAUCUCUUUUUCCAAUAAUCUACAUUUCCACCUGGUCUCAUAUAUAAUUUUGACAUAAACAUGUCUUUAUCCCAUCUAUAAUCAGACAUCGAAGGGCAAUGAAGAGUAACUAUUAAUGAGACAUCGAAGGGCAAUGAAGAGUCUCAAAUUGUAAGUCUGGAUAGCUAUGUCUAGGGUAAUAAUUUCUAGUUUUACCUUGAUAACCAAUAUUUUUCAUAUUUUUAAUUUUGUUAAUUUCUAACUCAUUGGGGUCUUGUGAUAAUACAUUGACUUGAGAAUUAUUUGUGAUUGUCAACCUUUUUAAUUCAUCAGAGUUAUUUUUUAAUUUUGCUUCUUUUAAUUCUUUUUCAGGUCCAUUUAUUAAUUUAUAAAUAGGGCUUUUUGGAUCUAGUUUGUAAUCCUUAUAUGAAUUUAUUUUACUAUGCAUACUGGGGUGGUUUUUACUCACUUGUAAUUCUACUCUAUCUAAUUGUUCAACCAUAGUAUAUAAUAUUUGAUUACUAAAGCUUAAUUGAGUUUGGACUCUUCCUAUUUCUUUAUUUUCAUGAUUUGGAUGCUUAAUUGUUUUAAAGGGUGAAGCUUCGAAUAUAAUUCCAUUCUUUUUUAUUUUUAUUGUUUCUAAUGGAGGAUGUAUAGAUGCUAUUAUUUUAUCAUCUACAAUCUUCCAUUUAUUACUUAUUUUAGUAUUAACAUUUAUGUGAUUAUUUCUAAUAAAAGGGUUUUUUAUAUUAUUUUCUAAACAGUAAUUUUCAAACCAGUUAAAGAAAUAAAUAUUUAAUCUUAUUUCUUUAAGAUACACAUAAUAUUUUUCUCUAUAAUCACUUGUUAUUUCUUUUGAGAAAGUAUCAAAAUACCAUUUUCUUUUAUCUGUAUUAUAAUCUACUUCGAAAUCUUCUGUUAACCAGCCUUUGUCUAUUUCAAAUUCUUCUUCUAAUUCAUUUACUCCUGUUGAAGUUGUGGGAAUUUAGAGAAAAUGAGGAGAGAAAAUAAUAAGGGCUUGAAUAUUAUUGAUAAUAGCUUAAUGCUGACUUGAUUACAAAAGACUCAAUAUUAAUCUCUAUUUAUAGAGAAACAUAGACUCAAUCCUAAAUCAAGAAUAAAUCAUAAUAAUGAGAGAUAUUCUAAGAUUCUCUAUGAUUAUAAGUUGAUCAUAGAAAAUAGCUCAAGAUACUCUAAUAUAAUAUAAAAGAUAUUGUAAGAUAUUUUCUAAUAUUCUAACACUCUCCCUCAAGCUAAAGCUUACUAAGCUUUAACUUGCUACAAGAUAACAAUGUUUUGCUCCGCAAAAUAAUAAUAAAAAGAUGGAAAGGAAACUCCAGGAUGCAGGUGAAGUCGAAGAGAAUUGCUAUAAAUACAGCCUAACCAGAUAGCUGGAAUGAUCUAUAACAUGAGAGCAAUUCAUGGCAAGCAGUUGAACAACACAACGUCCGUCCUUCUAAAAAACUGCAUUUGGAAGCUUCAAACCAAUAAUAUCAGAGACUCAAAAUAUUUAAACUUGAAUUUUUUUCAAGGAGAGAGAGGCAUGCUUCAAGUAGAGAAAGGCAAGGUCAGUACAUCUGGGACAAAGAUGGGGUCAGUGUAUCUAGGACAAAUUGCCAAGUUGUAUGCAUGUGGUUCGAAAGAAAAAAAAAACUUAAAACAGAUCUGAAACUAGGUAGGAAAACUCAAUCUAGACGAAUGAAACAUUAUGCCUGAAAGCGGACAGGCGCGCUUAAGCUCGUGUGGAGCAACUUUUGACCUAAAAGAAAAUCUGAGUUGGGUAGAUUGGGAGAUUUCGCACACAAUGGAAGUGGUUGUGUCGGAAAACGUUUCCAGCAGCGACGACAUGCAGCAACGGUAGAUGGCAGCAGUAGGAGACGGGAUAGCAGCAACGACAGGAAACACACGGCGGCGGCAACAGAUCUACUCGCAAGAAAAUUUACCAAAAUUAGUGGCAGCGGCGACUUUUAUACUAGUUCACCCAAUGAAGGCUACGUCCAGUCGUCGCACACUUGUGAUAUUUCACUAAUGAUCAAAUUGAUCAACCUCUAACAGAUGUUACUUACACUUUGUGUAUUCUAUAGCCUCACUAAGCUUACAAUCUUGUUUCUUACAAGUUCCAAACUAUUUCCAAGUGUAACUCACGUUGAAAUUAUAAAGAGAUAUGAAUAUGAUCGUUUCUCUUUUCUUAAAUACUUUCUAAAAAGAUAUUUCAAAGAUCUAGUGUAGGAUUAUAGAAAGUAUGAAGAGAUGAUGGAUAUUGCUCUUGAUAGCUUUAAGAUACUUGAUCUUUUUAUGCAAUGUUGUUGUAUCAUUAAUGAUGAAGGGCUUGCUGCCUUUUACAGAAGUCUUGUGAUGAUCCUUCCAUGUGCCAAGCUCUUUAUGACCGUUGGAAAGUUAAUUCAAAAAGUCCAAGGUCUUUCAUCAUAUUUACAGAACUGCCAUCCAACUGCCCUUGGACAGACUUAGUCCAUCCUCGAGCAGGAAGAUCACCCUCCUUGGAACUUGGCAUUGAGCUGUCCUUUUCUUUUCUCAUUCUUCAAGACAUGUAAGGCUAUAUCUUUGACUGUGGGCUACAACCAUUCUGAACUUUGAAGUGCUAUGUCAUUUUCAACUUUUGAGAGUGAUGUUGACAAUAGAGAACCAUCCUUAAGCAUGUGGGUCAGAUUUCCUUUCUUCAAGACAUGUGAAGGCUUCUAUUUUUGGCUUGUUUGUUGUUGCCUUUCUGAAGAUUGACUCUAUAUUGUUUUCAAUCAUACAAGAAUGAUAUAUAGGUAUGCUUUUAGCCUUUGCACAUGAUAUGAUGGGUUGCUUUCAACAGUGUUGGGUUGCUUUCCAAGACAAUGACCAUAAACCCAUUCCAGUAUAAUCCAUCAAUUAGUAGGUCAAUAGAAUUUGGAGAAAAAUUUCCUAAUGAAUUAAGAGACAAAACUCAAUAAUAAUAAUAAUAAUAAUAAUAAUAAUAAUAAUAAUAUGUAAUAAUAAUAAUAAUAUGUAAUAAUAAUAUUAAUAAUAAUAUUAAUAAUAAUAAUAAUAAUAAUAAUAAUAAUAAUAAUAACAAGCUAAAUCCUAGUCGAAAAGGAUAUACUAAUGCAUUACUAAAAUGGUUAAACGAAUUUGUGUCAUUUGCAAUCCAACAACCAAACAUAUGAAAUAUAGAAAUUAGAUGUCGUUGUUCUGUUUGCAAAAAUAUUGAUUUCUUAGACUUUGAAGUUGUUAACAUUUAUAUUUUAAGGAAGUAGUUUAAACCUGACUAUUAGUAUUGGACAUCUCAUGGAGAAAGUGAUCCAGAGUUGCAUGUAGAAAUUAAAAGGAAAAAUAUGCACAAGAGCGACAUAACAAUCAUUUUAAUAAAUUUGAGAGCAUGGUUUAUGAUGUUAUUGGACCACAGUAUCAAAUGCAUUAUGAUGAAGAAUUAAAGGAUUCUUCAAAUAUAGAAUGAUCAAAAGUUUUAUGAUUUACUAAAUGCAGCUCAAAAGCCAUUGUGACCGGGAUGCAACGAUAACACUGAAGUGUCUUUUGUUGUUAGAUUGUUGGCAAUUAAAUUAGAGGAAAAUAUUUGUCAACAAUCUUUUAAUCAAAUAGUGACACUUAUGAAGGAGACAAAAUCUUUCAAAACUUGGUCUCACUGUGGAAAAAAUAGAUUGUUGUGUAAAUGGUUGUAUGUUAUUCUACACUAAUGAAUGUAAACAAUUAAAAGAAUGCAAGUUUUGUAAUGCACCUCGUUAUGAGAAAAAAAAAGAUUGGUAGGCAUGAAUUCAAAGAGGUACCUAUGAAAACAAUGCAAUAUUUACCGCUAAUUCCCAAACUUAAAAGAUUAAAUGCUUCGAUGAGCUCAGCUCCACAUAUGAGAUAACAUUAUGAAAAUAGACGAGAACCAGGAGUGAUGUGUCAUCCAUCAGGUGGAGAGACUUGGAAACACUUUGAUCAAAUUUAUCCUUACUUUGUUGUUGAACCGAGGAAUGUAUACCGAUGGUUUUACCCCAUUUAGUCAUACUACCUAACCUUAUUCAUGUUGACAGAUAAUUGUCACUCCUUACAAUCUUCCUCCAGAACUAUGCAUGACAACUCCCUACGUUUCUCGCUUCGAUUAUUCCUGGAUCACAUAAUCCAAAGAGCAAGAUAGAUGAGCUCAAAUAUUUAUGGAAUGAAAGAGUGCUUACUAAAUCGAUCGCUAUUAUAUUUAUUGAUCGCUAUUAUAUUUAUUGACCGCUAUUAUAUUAAUUGACCGAUUUUUUCCAUUUAAUAACCGAACAAUUGAUCUCUAAAAGCGCUUUUUCAAUAAUUCUAAUACAUCAUUUCUCCUUAAUAAUUAAGCUACCUUUAAUGUCACAUUUUGUUUCUUUAACAUUAUUAAAGAAAAUGGAUUAGUGAUGUCAUCCAAGAAAAUGAAAUUAUUUCAGGGUAAUAUUAGAUUUUUAGGAUUCAACAUUUAUCAAGGAACAAUAACACCAAUUAAUAGGUCAAUAUAAUUUUGAGAAAAAUUUCCUAAUGAAUUAAUAGAUAUAGGAGGAGGUCGUUAACAAAAUAAAAUUAAGUUGCUAGUAUAUGCAAAAUAGGAGUGACACCUUAUUUGUUUUGAUAUAUUUACUCAACCAUAUUAAUUUUGAGGUUUUUUUUUUCUAUUAAAUGUACUUUGAUUUUUUAAAAUAUUUUAUAAUCAUUUUUUACAAUGUUUUAUUUUUAUUAUUUAUAUUACUUUUUCAUUUAUUGGAUUGCAUUGGUCAGCGCUUAAGUGGAUUAUGAGGUACUUAAAUGGCUCACUGACAGCAGGUUUAAAAUUCAAAAAGAAUCAUCAUGACAAUUAACCAAUCAAAUGAUAUGUGGACUCGGAUUAUGCUGGAAACAUGGACACUAGAAAAUCAAUUUCAAGUUAUGUUUUCACUCUAUAUGGAAUUGUUGUAAGUUGGAGAGCAAUUACGCAGUCGGUGGUAGCACUUUCUACAACUCAAGUUGAAUUCAUUGCGCUUACUGAAGGUGUUAAAGAAGCUUUAUGGAUGAAAGGACUUAUUGGUGAACUAGGAAUAAAUCAGAGUUAACUCAGCUGAUGCAUUCACCAAAUCAUUUUCACAAGCUAAGUUCAAGCAUUGUUUGGACAUAGUUGGCUUCAAAAAAGAGUAAAGAUGAAGCAAUGGUAGCAAGAUCAAUGAUUGAACUAUUCUGAUAUUGAGUCAAGAUGGAGAAUUGUGAAUAUGUGUCUCAAAUCAUCUAACUAAAGUUAGUUAAGCUUUAGUGGUUUUUAUAACUACAUUUGGCAAGGUUAGUUAUGAUAGGUGUUUAUAGUUAAUUUGCUUGUGUAUACUAUAAGUAAAGUUGUAAUAUUGUAGCAGUUGUAAUGUUGUUGUUGUAGUAGUAAGAGCUGGAAACUAAGAGAGGCAUAUGCAACUCAUCAUAGAAUAUCAUAGAGAGAUGAUUAAAAUGAGAGAAAGAAAUAUUAAUAGAAAGGCUAGUAUUGAUGGUUCAUAAAUUGAGAAGGCUUUAAUCUUGUAGAGUUCAAUUAACAAUAGUGGAUUAAUCUUGCUUGCUUGCCUGUGAGACCGAACACGUAAAUUUUUUGUGUUAUUCUUUCCUUAUCCUUCUUUAAUUUUAAUGUGAAAACUGUUUCAGAACAUUCUCUAUUUUCAGCAGAAAAACCCAAAACGUUCUACGUUUUCUGGUUUUUUCAGUUCUGUCCAAAACGUUCUACGUUUUCUGGUUUUUUCAGUUCUGUCCAAAACGUUNNNNNNNNNNNNNNNNNNNNNNNNNNNNNNNNNNNNNNNNNNNNNNNNNNNNNNNNNNNNNNNNNNNNNNNNNNNNNNNNNNNNNNNNNNNNNNNNNNNNNNNNNNNNNNNNNNNNNNNNNNNNNNNNNNNNNNNNNNNNNNNNNNNNNNNNNNNNNNNNNNNNNNNNNNNNNNNNNNNNNNNNNNNNNNNNNNNNNNNNNNNNNNNNNNNNNNNNNNNNNNNNNNNNNNNNNNNNNNNNNNNNNNNNNNNNNNNNNNNNNNNNNNNNNNNNNNNNNNNNNNNNNNNNNNNNNNNNNNNNNNNNNNNNNNNNNNNNNNNNNNNNNNNNNNNNNNNNNNNNNNNNNNNNNNNNNNNNNNNNNNNNNNNNNNNNNNNNNNNNNNNNNNNNNNNNNNNNNNNNNNNNNNNNNNNNNNNNNNNNNNNNNNNNNNNNNNNNNNNNNNNNNNNNNNNNNNNNNNNNNNNNNNNNNNNNNNNNNNNNNNNNNNNNNNNNNNNNNNNNNNNNNNNNNNNNNNNNNNNNNNNNNNNNNNNNNNNNNNNNNNNNNNNNNNNNNNNNNNNNNNNNNNNNNNNNNNNNNNNNNNNNNNNNNNNNNNNNNNNNNNNNNNNNNNNNNNNNNNNNNNNNNNNNNNNNNNNNNNNNNNNNNNNNNNNNNNNNNNNNNNNNNNNNNNNNNNNNNNNNNNNNNNNNNNNNNNNNNNNNNNNNNNNNNNNNNNNNNNNNNNNNNNNNNNNNNNNNNNNNNNNNNNNNNNNNNNNNNNNNNNNNNNNNNNNNNNNNNNNNNNNNNNNNNNNNNNNNNNNNNNNNNNNNNNNNNNNNNNNNNNNNNNNNNNNNNNNNNNNNNNNNNNNNNNNNNNNNNNNNNNNNNNNNNNNNNNNNNNNNNNNNNNNNNNNNNNNNNNNNNNNNNNNNNNNNNNNNNNNNNNNNNNNNNNNNNNNNNNNNNNNNNNNNNNNNNNNNNNNNNNNNNNNNNNNNNNNNNNNNNNNNNNNNNNNNNNNNNNNNNNNNNNNNNNNNNNNNNNNNNNNNNNNNNNNNNNNNNNNNNNNNNNNNNNNNNNNNNNNNNNNNNNNNNNNNNNNNNNNNNNNNNNNNNNNNNNNNNNNNNNCAAAAAUAAAUCUAUGAUGAUUACUUGGGAUGACAGUGACGAGUCAUCCUCUGAGCAAAAGAAGGAAGAAGAGAUCAACCUCUGUCUCAUGGCAAAAUAAGAUACUGAAAAGGUAAUCAUCUCAGAACUAUGUCCUACGUGUGAAAAGUUAGAAAUUGAAUUUGACAAUCUUUUAAAUGACUCAAACACCUUAUCUCAUAAAUGUGGUUUUCUCAAAAAUCAAUUUUAUGAAAUAAAGAACCUCAAUGAGGAACUUCAAGCUAAGAAUGAGAAGUAUGAAAAAGUCAUUCUAGAUUUGCAGUUAUCUCAUGAGAAAUUAUCUGAGCAACAAACUUUUUUAUAUAAAAAGAAAGUCAAAAGUCAUCCUCCAGAAGAGGACACAGAAAAGGAAAUCUUGAAAGUAGAAGUUGAAGAACUAAAAAAUGACAUUAUCAACUUUGUUAAAUCUACUGAAACAUUUCAAAAGAUUAUGGGAUCUCAAUCUGGAAUCUUUGACAAAGCUGGUAUUGGAUUUAAAAGUUCUCAAAAACAAAAAUUAUACGAAAAUUUUUCCUGCCUAAAAAACAAGAGGAUAGGCCAAAAUGUACGUUUUGGAAAAAACUUGGACAUACUUUCAAAAACUGUCAUGCUAAGAAGAAAGCUGACAACAUAAAGAAAGUAUGUUCAUUUUGUGGUAAACACGAGCACCAUGAUCCUGUUUGUUAUCACAAAAGGAAAAUCCUCACAAGAGGAAAAACUAAUCAACAAGGACCCAAUGUUAUAUGGGUACCCAAGUUACUUUUAACCUCUAACACAGGUUCAUCCUCUGAUCAACAAAAGAAAGCCUUGGUACUUGGACAGUGGCAGCUCAAGGCAUAUGACAUGGAAUAAGCACUGCUUUAUUUCCUUGGAGAUAAAGGAUUGAGGAUCAGUCACGUUUGGUAACAAUGAUAAAGCUCAAAUAAAAGGUACAAGUAUUAUUGGUAAAAAUAAUUCUGCUAAAAUUGAAAAUGUUUAGUAUGUGGAUGGUUUAAAACAUAACUUGCUAAGUAUUAGUCAAUUAUGUGAUAGUGGAUUUGAAUUUAUUUUUAAGCCUACUCUAUGCGAGGUUAAACAUUCAUCAUCGGGUAGAGUUAUCUUUUCCGAUUUUGGAAAAAAUAGUUUAUAUGAACUAUAUCUGGAUGAUUUACCUACUAAAUCUUGUUUUGUAUCCAUUGAGAAAGAUAAAUGGAUUUGGCACAAACAAGCUGGUCACACAAGCUUAAAUACUAUUUCUAAAUUAGAAAAACUAGAAUUAGUGAAAGGUCUUCCAAAAAUUAAUUUUGAAAACGAGGAGGAUGAUUCUGAUCCAACCUCUCAGCAACCUCCAAGAGGAUGGAAAAUAGUAACACAUCAUCCUCCUGACCUGAUCAUUGGGAAUAUUGUCGAUGGUGUUAGGACCAGAAAUUCUCUAAAAGAAAAUACUAACAUGGCCAUGAUAUCACAAGUUCAACCCAAAACAAUUGAUCAAGAAAUUUGUGACAAGUCAUGGGUUGAAGCCAUGAUGGAGGAUCUAUCACAGUUUGAAAGAAACAAAGUGUGGAAUCUUAUGCCCCAUCCUCUGGAACAAAUUGAAUGAGGAUGGAGUGGUCAUUAGAAAUAAAACAAGAUUUGUGGCACAAGGUUACAACCAACAUGAGGGAAUUGAUUAUGAUGAAAUAAUGCACCAUUGCUCUAUCAACUACAAGGUUGAAUAUGUAUCAGCAGUACAGUGAUGCUCGCAAUUACUAUGGAUGAAGAACCAACUAGAGGAUUACUCUCUAAGGUACGCAAAAAUUCUCAUCCUCUGUGAUAAUACAAGUGCUAUUAAUCUUUCAAAAAACCCUAUACAACAUUCUAGAUCUAAGCAUAUUGAAAUCAAGUAUCAUUUUAUUAGAGAUCAUGUUCAAAAAGGGGACAUAAAAUUAAUUUUGAUUGAAAUUGAAAAUCAGUUGGCUGAUAUUUUUACCUAACCUCUUCAGGAGAAUCAGUUCAAAAAUAAACAUGAGGAACUCUCUAUCAUUAUCCAAAGUUAUUUAAAUAAAAUUUUAUUCAUGAAUAAUUUUUUAUUUAUUUAAAUUUUCUUCUGGGGAUCAUAUCUUAAAAUUGAGAAAUAUCCUCCUCUAUAGGAUGAGCAAAGUCUGAUGAUGUUUGGUCAACCUGAAUAUCAUUGUUUUAAUUUUAAUUUUAGUUUAUGCUUAUUGGUCAAAUUAUUCCUGAUGCAAUAUCAAAUAUGAUCUUUUAAAUAAAGCCUAAGAAUCAGAGGAUAUGUAAACCAACAGAAAAUACAAUUUCUUUUUUUGUGAAACAUCCUAAUGCCACGUCAGACAAGGCAUGCGCAUGCCUCACAUUUCCCAUUGGUCCGCCUUGUGGCACGGCUCUCAUUUCUCCCAUCUCGCAUUUAAUGUGCAGACUACAAUAAAUGACAUUUAUCACAUUUCCCAUAACCUACCCUAGCUAUCAUCAUUAUGUUUCCCAUCUCGCAUUUAAUUGUUGUUUCUCUCUCUCUCUCUCUCUCUCUCUCUCUCCUAUACAUCUUUUUCAAAUGAGCAUUAAAUGCAAAACGAAUACUUCUUUCUUGAAAUUACAAACCUUUAUUAAUUCCUAAUAACUAUUCCCUCUAUUUUUUAAUGGCUACAAAAUUCCUUCAAAUUCUUUGAUCAAAUCACUCAAAAACUCUGAUUAUUUAUCCUCCUCUUGGAGUGGAUAACCAACCAUCUUAUAAACCCCAGGAAGUCAUCCUCAUGUCUUGCCACAUCAACCUCUUCAACCAAUCCUCACUGUCCUUCAACCUCGUCCUCCUCUGAUGACUUUUUCUCCGUCCAAAAUAGGUGCUUGGAUCUUUCCAAUUUUUUUUUUAUGGUUGUCAAAUUUAGGGGGAAAGAGAUUAUGAUCAUCCUGUUAUCAACUUUUUGUUUAAGAGGAUACUUUUUGAAAUCUUUAUUUCAAUCCUCUUGUAUAUGCUAGUUAAUAUGUAUGUCUUUUGAACCAUCAUUUUGAAAUAUCAGCCUCAUUAAUAUGAAGUCUCUUUAUGGUUCAAAUUCAUGUUUCAAAACUUUGGCAUAUGUUCAAGGGGAGUAAUUUUUUUGAAAAAUUUAAAAAAGUUACUCUUAUGAUUUGGGGGGAGCAUAAACAUUUUAUCUCAUAAUUUUUUUUAUAUUUAAAAUCAUAAUCUAAAUAAUUUUGUCAUCAUAAAAAAGAGGGAGAUUGUUGAGACAAAAUCUCUCUCAAAUGGUUUUAAUGAUAACAAAAUUAUUUAAAAGAUUAUGAUUAUGGUUAAUGACUAAUCUGUGCUUUUGAGUGAAUUCAUAUCAUUAAGACAAAAAAGAGAAAAAUCUGAUUCAAAUCUGAUUCAAAUCUGGAGAAUUGGAAUUCGAGAGGAUGACCUCGUAAGAGGAUAAAGCUUCAAAUCUGCAAAAUAUUGAUCCUCACCAAAACAAAUUCUUUUAUUCAUUAAAGUAAAGACAAAAUAGUAUUAAAGAAUUAAUAAAUAAAGCUUUUGAAGUAAAGAAGUCAGAUGGCAAAAGAAUAGGUACGAGGAGGGAUUAUACUAGGAUGGGUCUAUGGUCAAUAUCUUGGAAAGCAACCCAACACUGUUGAAAGCAACCCAUUAUAUCAUAUGCAAAGGCUAAAAGCAGACCUAUAUAUCAUUCUUGUAUGAUUGAAAACAAUAUAGAGUCAAUCUUCAGAAAGGCAACAACAAACAAGCCAAAAAUAGAAGCCUUCACAUGUCUUGAAGAAAGGAAAUUUGACCCACGUGCUUAAGGAUGGUUCUCUAUUGUCAACAUCGCUCUCAAAAGUUGAAAAUGACCUAGCACUUCAAAGUUCAUAAUGGUUGUAGCCGACAGUCAAAGAUAUAAGACAGUCAAAGUUCAAGGCCAAGUUCCAAGGAGGGUGAUCUUCCUGCUCGGGGAUGGACUAAGUCUGUCCUAGGACAGUUGGAUGGCAGUUCUCUAAAUAUGAUGAAAGACUUUGGACUUUGUGAAUUAUUUUCCCAACGGUCAUAAAGAGCUUGGCACAUGGAAGGAUCAUCACAAGACUUAUGUAAAAGGCAACAAGCCCUUCAUCAUUAAUGAUACAACAACAUUGCAUAAAAAUAUCAGGUAUCUUAAAGCUAUCAAGAGCAAUAUCCAUCAUCUCUUCAUACUUUCUAUAAUCCUACACUAGAUCUUUGAAAUAUCUUUCUAGAAAGUAUUUAAGAAAAGAGAAACAAUCAUAUUCAUAUCUCUUUGUAAUUUCCACGUGAGUUACACUUGGAAAUAGUUUGGAACUUGUAAGAAACAAGAUUGUAAGCUUAGUGAGGCUAUAGAAUACACAAAGUGUAAGUAACAUCUGUUAGAGGUUGAUCAAUUUGAUAAUUAGUGAAAUAUCACAAGUGUGUGACGACUGGACGUAGCCUUCAUUGGGUGAACUAGUAUAAAAGUUGUGUGUGUCAUUCUUUACAUUUUCUCUUUCUUUUACUCUACACAAAUUUAAAAGGCUUAAAUAACCAUCAUCGAGUUCGCAUCCUCUCAGAGAUGAUAGCUUUUAAAAAACACGUGAAAAAUAUUUAAAACAACAAAAUCCCUAUUCAACCCCCCUUUUAGUGAUAUUUAGCUACAUCAAAUCCAUCUAAUGCUAUUAGAAUGCGCAAUGACGAACCACGUAGAAUUGUGCAUAUGAUGUUCUUUUACACACUGCAUUGCCACAACCUUUGUGGGAAAUUUCAUCCUCACUAGGAGAUUGUCAGGAUCUGGAACAAGGUAAGAUUGAUUUUUGGACAUAGAGUUGUCAAAUUCAACGUCAACGUAAUUCAUGUUAUCGGAGGUUACGUUGCAAAAAUGUGAGGGGGUCAAAGAAAUAAAUUGUAGUAUAUGGACAUUGUACUACGGGUUCCUAAUCAUCAUCAUCAUUGACAACAACUUCAACAAGAAUGUCAUCCUCAUUCUCACUAAAAUCGCUAACUUCUUCGUUGUGGACACCAACCACAACAAUGAUAGGACCAUCAUCGUACGGUGUAUUAAGAUCAAUCCUCCAUUGAUUGGUUGGUUCUGAUUUGUAUUUGUAUUUUAAUUAUCAUAUUUAAUUAAAUUUUAUUAUUUUUAUAAACUCUAUUUUAUUUAAAUUUUUUAUUAAUUAUAAAAAAUAAAAUUUAUUUAGAUGAUUAUUAUAAAAAAAAUUAACAUUAGAUUUAUUUAUUUAACUAAAAUAAUAUUGGUAGUAUGAUGCAUAAUGAGAAAAUAAUGAUAGUAUACAUAAUUAGAAAAUGAUAUUUAAUUUUAUUUUAGUGGUAGAAUAAAAAAAAAAACCAAAAAAAGAGACGAUUGUAAUACCACCGCCUUAAUCCGCGAAUAACUAUCUAUAUUUAUAUUGAUCAGUUCUAUUCUCAAUCAACACAAGAACAACGUUGUUGUUUACGCACUAACGAUCGGAACGAAAGCUCUCACUUUCUCACUCGAUCUCGCUCUCUUCUUCUUUGUCAAGCUCUACUUUACAAUCUCUCGUUCUCCCUCUCCAUCUCACUUUUCUCAUUGUUACUUUUUUUAGUUUUACUCUUUGGUUUGUCUGUGUGGCUAUUUUGUGGUUCUUUGAUUCUUUUUUUAGGUUUUUCUGUCCGUGAUGGAUUCCCCGCCAGGUACUCCGAUUUCAUCACUCUCUCAUACGGUGGCCACUCCGUCACUUCCGUCGGCACCGAAAAAGAAAUCCCAACAGUCUAUGGCAAGGUUUAUUCUGCACUCUUUAGAUGAUAUUACCGAAAUGGUUCAGGAAAUUAUUCUAGUUCUUUGAUUCUUUUUUUAGGUUUUUCCUAUCCGUGAUGGAUUCCCCGCCAGGUACUCCGGUUUCAUCACUCUCUCAUAACGGUGGCCACUCCGUCACUUCCGUCGGCACCGAAAAAGAAACCCCAACAGUCUAUGGCAAGGUUUAUUCAGCACUCUUUAGAUGAUAUUACCGAAAUGGUUCAGGAAAUUAUUCUAAGGCCUGAGUACAGCCAAGAAGCAUUGAAUGCUGAGAGAGAAAGAAAAAUGCGCAUUUUGAUGUCACUGCGAUAGUCAUUCAUUGCUUGCGUGAGUAUGAUUCUUGUGUUGGUUGGUAACUUGGUAUGAUUCUCUGUUCCUUUAUUCCUUUCAAUUUAUAUUUGGUAAGAAUCUAAGUUUAUAGAUUUAUAUACGUUUUUAUGCCAAAAUAUAAAAUAUGCCUUCGAUCUUGAUUUUUAUGCUAAAGAAAGUACCUAUUUUAUAUUAUGAAUCUAUGUUGAAUGAUGAUACUUCUAUAGACGGAUAUGUGUUAGGUAACAAUUUAUGUGUUUCAAUUGUUUAUGAUUCUCAUUCUAAAAUCUAUAAUAAGUCUCCUAAAGCUAGUCCUCUUUAUCUUUUUAUCUUAAUAUUGUUUAUGUUCUGUCAAUGCCACUCUUGUAACUAUUCGAAUAUUUGAGUACUCAGAACCAACAUGUUCUAAUACCCUCUCAUUCACUAUCUAAGGUAUGUUCUUUUCUUUGCCAAAACUAUUUUGAAUCUAUUACUAACUUGAUCGUUGGAGUCUUUGCAGGUACCACACCCAUUGCUCAUGAGCAGGAACAAUUUUGGCAACAACAAUUGGUCAAUCUAAUCUACUUCAUAUUUGGAUAAUCAUUCUAGAAAUGAACAUGUAAGUAGUAUCUUAAUUACUGCAUCUCUUCUAUGUGGAAAAAGGUGAGAAAUUUAUGUGAUUCAAUUGUUUAUGACUCUCAUUCUAGAAUUAAUCAAUCUCUUAAAGUUAGUCCUCUUUUUCUUUUAUAUUGAUAUUGUUUAUGUUCUGUCAUGCCCCCUUCUUGUAACAAUUUAUAUCUGCAUAAUGGAUCACACAUUUUAUUGCGCUGUCGGUGGCAUGUCCCUGUCCUUCUCAACCUCCAAGUGUCGUUUGUCUGCUCGAUGUUGAAAUCGGCCUACAUUCAAGAGAUGUAAGCAUACAUGCAGUAUAUUCCACCACAAGCCUUUCUAGAUCAUAACUCCAAAUUCUAUGAUUGAGUAUUUCUUUUCAACACUUGUUAGGAUAAGGCAAUAGUAUAUAAUUGAAACCAAGAGAUCUCUAUUCAACACAUGUCCAGUGCUUCCUCUACUUACAUCAAGUGGCCAUUUUACUUCCUCUGGUUCACAAUAUGUCUGGAUUGAUGUGCAACUUUGAAGUUCUAGGAUGUCGGAUUAUGUCCUUUCUUUGUAGUGUUACAAUAUUGUUUCAUUUGGCCUAUUGUUUUAAUCUUGACCUUAAUUUGUAUAAACUUCAGUUUCCAUGACAUUGUUAUGUUUAUUUUCCUUCUUGUGUUAAUAUACUCUUAAUAAUUAAAAUAAAUAUGUUAACAUGCCUAUGUUUGGUUUUUACUUUUGGAGCAUGUAAAAUUGAUUUGAAUUGAUCUUGACAUAUUUGGUUGUCAUUGAGUUGAAUUGAUUGUCUCCUUUAGAGUUGAUUUUUAGCUUUGGAUUUAUCAAUCAACUCACUUUUACAAGCAACAUAAAUUGUUUUAACUUCAAGUCACUUUUAAUUAAAAUCAAUUUUACAUAAUCAAUAGUUAUGUUUUUUUCGACGGAAAAAUAAUAGCAAUUUUUAUUGUGAAGUAGUUUUAAUCAUCAGUUUAGCACUUGAAAGUAUAAUCAUCAUGUAAAAUUGAUUUGAAUUGAUCUUGACAUAUUUGGUUGUCAUUGAGUUGAAUUGAUUGUCUCCUUUAGAGUUGAUUUUUAGCUUUGGAUUUAUCAAUCAACUCACUUUUACAAGCAACAUAAAUUGUUUUAACUUCAAGUCACUUUUAAUUAAAAUCAAUUUUACAUAAUCAAUAGUUAUGUUUUUUUUUACGGAAAAAUAAUAGCAAUUUUUAUUGUGAAGUAGUUUUAAUCAUCAUUUUAGCACUUGAAAGUAUAAUACAGUGUAAUUUUGAAUAUGUUAAAGUUUAAAACUGAAUACUCCUUUUUUUUUUAAACAAAAUAAGUGCUAUAUUUUUAUUGUUUUUAACUUAUGUUGAUGAUCUUGUUAUUCUUGGAACCUGUCUACUUGAUAUACAAAGUAUUAAAACAAUUACUAGAUAGAAAGAUCAAUAUUGAAGAUUUUGAAAUAUUUAAAUAUCAUUUGGAUUUUGAAGUGGAUAUUUUCUUACCCAAAGGAAAUAUACCCUUGACUUGACUUGAAGUUUAGGGUUGUUGGCUUCUUAACCAACUUCCACAUUCAUGAAUUUGGUUUUAAGCUUUGAUUAAAAUUUUGACAACCCUUAUGUGAUCCAAUUGGUUUUUGAAAACAAAUGGAUAGAUUGACAAGAAAAUAAAUUUAAUUCACACUAGAAUAAAAAUAAUAUAAUCAAAUUUACUGAUGAAUAAAACAAAAAGUAUAUUAAUAAUACACAUAAAAAUUGCAGAAAUUAAUGAAAAAUAAUCUAAUCAAAAUCUUCGCAAAAAAAAUUAUUUGUUGGUAUUUGUUUAUAUCGAUUAAAGGUGAUAUUUGACAUGACGAAUUCAACUACGUAUUGAUAAGUUAUUUAUAAGGUUGAGAUAGUGUUGAAUUUGGUGUUAGUCUCCAUAAAUUUGUUGUCUAAAAUAUAGUAUCGAUAAAACGAGUCAUUUGAUUUUAUAGACACCACACUAAAAUACAAAAACAAAAUAUAACAUACUAUGAUGACAAACAAAUCAAUGUUGCACUCAGAUGACUAAAUCGUAAAUAAAACACACAAAAAAGAAGUAAAUUUGUGUAGAAAAUCAAUUAUUUAAUUAAAAGCAUGGAAUAAAAUAAUUUAGAUAAUUAUUUUAGAUUAAAAAAAAAAGAAUAACCUUAAGUUACCCCUCUAAUAAACAAAGAGGAAGAGAAGCUGUGUUAUUUUUUUAGGAGGGGAAGUUAAAAAACAACUUUAGGCGGCUACUUGUAAAUUCCUCGACAUAUCUUAUGUUGUUUGUAUAAGUUAUACAUCGAUUCCUCUCUUCUCUUUUGCCACUCAUCUCUAGGUUGCAUUAAGGAUUCUAAAUUAUUUGAAGGUAAACUAGUGAAAGAUUUUUCACAACAACAUCCAUUAUUAUGUUCCAACUCUCUAGUUGUUUUGCGAUUCUUAGUGGAACUCAUAUAAGAUCUAGAAGAUAACAACAAACUUUUGUUUCUCUCUUGGCAACUCUUUAAUUCCAUGGAAAAUUAAGAAACAUUCAAUUGUUUCUCAUUCUUCAUCACAGACAGAAUAUAGAGCUUUAGAAUUCUAUUAUUUUAAUAUAUCGUUUGAUUGUUUAAAAACAAAGUCAUGUCCAUUAAUAGUUGUGAUGUGUCGACGGUGUAAAAAAAUUUACACUAACCGUGAUUAACAAUUAAACUCUUAAAUUUAUGGUACAAUAAAUAAAAUAGAUUAUUAUUAUUGUUGGUAUAUAAAUUAAUAUAAUUAUAAAAAAAUUACAUAAUUAAUAACUUUUUUGUUUUUACAGAAGAAUAAUAGAAAUAAAUUUUUAUUUAGUUUUAAUCAUCAACUUAGCACUUGAAAGUAUAAGACGCUCAUAACUGAAUACUCUUUUUUUAAAAAAAAAAAAAAAUAAGUACUUUUUUUUAUUAUUUUAACUUAUGAUGAUGAUCUUGUUAUUGUUGGAACGUGUGUACUUGAUAUACAAAGUACUAAAACAAUUACUAGAUAAAAAGUUCAACAUUGAAGAUUUUGAAACAUUAAAAUAUCUUUUGGAUUUUGAAGUGCUUACCCAAAGGAAAUAUACCUUCGACUUACUUGAAUAUCAGGGUUGUUGGCUCCUAAACCAACUUCCAAAUCCAUGAAUUUGGUUUAAAGCAUUGUUUAAAUUUUUUACAACCCUUAUCUGAUCCAAUUGAUUUUUGAACACAUAGAUACAUUGUUUUAUCUAAAAAUAUUAGUAUAUAUAUAUUGACAAUAAAUAAAUUUAAUUCACCCUAGAAUAAAAAUAACAUACAUAAAAAUUAUAGAAAUUAAUGAAAAAUCACAUAAUCAAAAUCGGAAUCUUAACAAUCAAACUAUAGUCUUCUACCAGUCAAUGGCUAAGAAUAAUGUGAUAUGUACGAUCUUUAAUGUCAUCCAUAUUCGAAAAAAAGAAAUAUUUGUUGAUGUUUGUUCAUAUCGUUUAUAGGUAAUAUCUGACAUGAAGAAUUCAACUAUAUAUUGACAAGUCAUUUGUAAGAUUGAUUCCUCUCUUCUCCUUUUUCUAUUCAUCUUUAGGCUGCCUUAAGGAUUCUAUAUUAUUUGAACGUAAACUAGAAAGAUUUUUCACAACAACAUCCAUCAUUUUGUUCCAACUCUGCAAUUGCCCUAUUACUAGGGUAAUUUUUAUAAUAGGGUAAUUUUUCUGGUUUUUAUGUUGUAGUAUUUAAUCGGGACGACGUGUUUAAGGCAAAUUGUAAUGGUGAGAUUAAUUGGGAUUGGAUAACGGGUCUUAUUGUUUUUGGUUGCAUGUAAGUUGUCUGGUAAAAAGAUGGUAAUGCUAAUGGGGCUAAUGGAGUAAACAUGUUUUGGUUUGGUGGAGGAAGAAGAGAGAGUUUGUAAUACAUGUUUCAUAGUGGGUGUUUUUGUAAUUUUUUUUCACUAAUUGGGGAUUCAUACUUAUCUUUAUGACUCAUUGUGCUUUCCCUGUAAAAAUUCUCUUGUAAGAAAAUUUGGUAAUGAGUUUUUCUCUCCUUUAAUAUGUUCUAUUUCGUAAUCAAAAUAAGAAAGUAAAGAUUGCCAUCUAGCAAAACUAUGUUUCGAAACCAGGUUUUUAACAUCCUUUUGCAAAACAUCUUUUUCUGCUUUAUAAUCAGUUUUUAAUAAAAAUUUCUUUGAAAAUAAGUCAUCUUGAAAUUUUGUAAUGCAUAAAACAAUUGCCAAAAUCUCUUUUUCAACAGUACUAUAUUUUAGUUGAGUUGGGUUCCAUAUUCCAGAGUAAUAUCUCACUAUUUGCUCUUUUGGGUUUCCUGGUAAUUUUUCUUUUAACACUCCACCAUAACCUAACUCUAAUGAGUCAGUCUCUACUACUAAUAGGGCUUGAGGGUCUAGAAUUCCUAAGCAAAGUAAUUUUUUAAUUAUUUGUUUUUAGGUUUUGACACUAUCGGCCAUAGUCUCAUCCAAUUUGGGUGGAUUUUUUCUUAGUCUUUUAAAUAAAGGUGAACAUAUAAUCCUAAGGUUGGGAAUAAAGUCUGCUACAUAAUUUACACUUCCUAAGAAUCUUUGUAAUUGAUUUUUGUCUUUUAAUUCAUUAUGAAAAUUUUCUCCAAAUUCUAUUGACCUACUAAUUUGUGUUAUUGUUCCUUGAUAAAUGUUGAAUCAUAAAAAUCUAAUAUUAUCCUGAAAUAAUUUAAUUUUCUUGGCUGACACCACUAAUCAUUUUUCUUUAAUAAUAUUAAAGAAUUUUUUCUAGAUGUUCAAAGUGUUGAUUAAUACUUUUUGAAAAUACUAAUACGUCAUCUAAGUAUACAAUAGUAAAAUGUUGUAAUUAUUAAAAAUGUCAUUCAUAAUAUUUUGGAAUUCACUGGGUGCAUUCUUUAAUCCGAAGGGCAUAACAUUCCAUUCGUAAUGUCCAAAGGGUACUACAAAGGCUUUUUUAUAAUUAUCCUCUUCUUUUAUUUGUAUUUGGUAAUAUCCUGAUUUCAUNNNNNNNNNNNNNNNNNNNNNNNNNNNNNNNNNNNNNNNNNNNNNNNNNNNNNNNNNNUUAUAAUACUUUAUUUAAUGGUUUAUAAUUUAUAACUAAUCUGGGGGCUCCUCUUUCUAAUUUUGUUGAGUUCAUUACAUAGAACCCUACACAACUCCAGGGAGAUUUACCAGGUCUUAUUAAUCCUUUAUCUAAGUAUUCUUGUAUUUCCUUUUUACAAUAAUCUAGGUAUUGUUGAUUCAUUUGUAUUGGUCUUGCCUAGGUGGGAAUGUUUCUCUCAUUAAAACUGGGUUCAUAAGGAAGUGAGACCACAUGCUUCUUUCUUGUCCAGAAAGCAUUGGGGGUGAUCUGCACAAAUUUCUUUUUCAAAUUUAUCUUGUAUAAUUUUAUUUUGUAAUUGUUCUUCUAUUCUUUUAUAAUGAAUCUCUUUGUUUAUCAUCCCUAUUUGUUUCUUCUUUUUAGAGAUUAAAUUAAUUUUAUUAUGACUUGAUGUCGAUGCUUCCUGUAACAUUUAAUUAUUUAAUUUUGGGUUUUUGAACAACUUCAAAUUUUAUUGUUUUUCCUAAUGCUUUUUUAGUAAGACCUUCAUGUGAUACAGUGAAUGGGUAUAUUAAUGCUAAGAAAGGGUUUUCUAUAAUUACACUUUCUCUAAUGUCUUUUACUAAUAAAUUGAAGUAUGAUAACAAAUUCCAUUUUUACAUACCUUUGCAUCAAGUAAUUUAUAAGUAACACCUAAUCUAGAACCAUUGGCUCCAAUUAAUCUUUCUAGGGUUUUUUCGUAAUAUUUAGUGGGUAUUAAUCCUUCUUGGAUACAAUUAGAGUUUGCACCAGAAUCAAAUAAUGCAUUAAACUCAAAUUUUUUAUUUUUAAUAAUUAUAGUUAUUGGACAGUACCAUUUGUGUACAAUUAAUUUAUUUAACAAAAAUAAAUAAGGUUCUUAUUCUUUUAUAUCAUUAUUAUUACUACUACUUUCUAACUUAAGUUGUUGUUCUAAUAUACUUUUUUCUUUUAAUUCUAAAUACUUAACAUCUAAUUCUAAAUCCUUUUGUUUUAAUAAUUGAAUUUCUUGAUUUUAUAGAAGUAAUUUCAUUCUGCAUGUCUUUAAUAGUAAUUGGUGGGGUAAUAGUGGGUUUAAAUCUAUUCAUUAUUUAUUUAAAUUCUACUUUAUGAACUAUUUCAUUUUCUAUUUGUUCUUUUUCUAUAAUUCCUUGUAUCUGAAUCAUAAAUUCUUCCUUUUGAUUUUAAUCAGGCAUUUUUCUUAAUACUUCUAUAAGAUUACUAGCUUGAUCUGUAGUAAUCAUAUUAAUUGCCUUAGUACAAUCAUUACAGUUACAUAAUUCUGGACCUAAACAAUAAUUUUCUUCUGAACUUUCUUCUGAUUAUGAUUUUUCUGAUAUAUUAUUAACAUAUUCUUCUUCAUAAGAUGAUUCUUCCGAAGAACUAGAGGAUUCAUCAAUCAACAUAAUUCCUUCUAAGAUAUUAAUAAGACUUUCUUUUAAUUCUUUUUGUAUUUCUAAUUUACAGAUUUCAUUAAUUUUUUGUUUUACUCUACAAUUUUUUGCUUAAAGUCCUAGUCUUCCACAUUUAAAACAUUUAAUUUCUUGUUUAUUAAAGACUUUUUUUAUUAGUUCUUUUAAUUUUUUGUGUUUCUUUAUAGGUUCUUUUGGGGUGUAAUUAUUAUUAUAAUUUUUCUUUUUUUAUAAUGUCUAAAUGUUUGUUUUGGAUAUCUUUUAUUUAUGUUUUUACUAGGAGCUUUAAUCGUCUCUAUUCCGAAUUGUUCACAAAAUAAUCUUAAUUCUUUUCUACUUUGUACUACUUCUGAUCUAAUUUUAUUCUGUAUUUUAAAAUCUGUGCAUAUUCCUAUUCCGAUUUCUACUACGUAAUUCGAUAUUUGUCCUAAGGUUAAUGUUCCAUAAGGAAUUAUUGUUGAUUAUUAUGACCUCGGAAUAAUCGGAAUGUAUCAGUUCUUUAAGAAAUUAAAUCAAUUUCAUACACACGGCGGAAUUAAAUUGCGGCAUACAAGAUUAGCAAUUACAAGGAGAUGGAUAAGAGAUUAACCAAGAUGCAUGCGAGUCAAAUUUCCAGUUUAAACAAUAUUACCUAACACAGAAUAUGUUUAACAUGCAUCUAAUAUUAAUCACACAUACAAAUAUUGCAAGAUAGAAAAUUAAAGGAGUUAAGGGUUAGAGAAGAUUGCACCAAGAAUUUAUCCUGGUUCGGUUGUCAACGAGACAACCUACAUCCAGUCCUGACAAUCCAAUCGGAUUUCAGAUUUUCUUCUCCAAUAGAAAGAAUCAAUUACAGAUUGUCCAGUUUCAUCCCCGAAACCUAUCUAUCUCUAAUGAUCUCUUUCCUAUUGAUUACCCUCUGAUCCUUGUAGACACUCAGCAGUCUAACACAGAAUCACAGUACGACUCCUUCUUGUUGAGACCUCUCACCCAAGAAGGUAGCCACUAGUUUCUAGCUGGCUUUCUAUCAACCCUUUGAUCCUUGUAGACACUCAGCAGUCUGACACAAAAUCAAAGUGCGACUCCUUCUUGUUGAGACCUCUCACCCAAGAAGGUAGCCACCAGUUUCUAGCUGGCUUUCUCGCUUUCGUUUCGUUUCAAAGUAUUGUUAUAGACAGAUUAAAAGAAGUACAAAAAGAAGUCUUCAAUCUUGAUCAAUGUGUCUUCUCACGAAUCUGGAUAUUCAAUGAUUGUUCAUGAGGACAUUGUCUUUUCUCUCAAGAAUACUUUUUCAGCUCUCUCAAUGAUUAUGGAUAAUCUUUUGAUCUUGAUCUGAAAGAGCAUUAUCAGAUUGUCAACAAAGUGUAUUGUGAUUUGUUAUUGAAGUUAUCUUGAGUUCUCAGAACUAUGAAAGUUAUGAUCAAGGUUCUUUUUGAAAAAGAUUGAAAAACAGUUUAUAUAGUUUCUGAAAAACAACUACUAAAUCGAUUUACCAAUCGAUUCAUUAANNNNNNNNNNNNNNNNNNNNNNNNNNNNNNNNNNNNNNNNNNNNNNNNNNNNNNNNNNNNNNNNNNNNNNNNNNNNNNNNNNNNNNNNNNNNNNNNNNNNNNNNNNNNNNNNNNNNNNNNNNNNNUCUUACCAGAUGUUUAGUUCAAUCGAUUUCCCAAUCGAUUGCAACCAAACUUAACUUGAUUGAAAUUCACACAAUAGAUUGUCUAAUCGAUUGUGUUUGUCACAGGUGAAGUUACUUUUGAAAUUUCAUUUUAAGCAAUCGAUUUGCCAAUCGAUUUCCUAAUGCCCUGUGACUUCCCAAUCGAUUUGCCAGUUGAUUAGUUUCAAUCAGUUUACAUUUUGUGAUAUGUACAAUCGAUUUGUCAAUCGAUUAACCUGUAAACCAGGUUGCCACUGACUUGUUCAAUUUUCAUUUCUAAUAUAGUCAGUCGAUUGCCCAAUCGAUUAUACAAUCACAAACAUUUACUUUUCCUUACACCCUUGUUAUGAAAUCAAUUUCCCAAUCGAUUUACUCAGUGAAUAAUCAACUUUUGUUGAUUUCUUGUGUUCCAAGCAAUUUGUUCCAAGUGUGUAGGAUUGAAUUGGUGUUCCUGAAAUCUUGCUCAAUUGAAAUGUUAGAUUUAUCAUAUGAUGUAUGAACAUUGUAUGUUUGUUAAUUAUGUCAAAAUUAGGAUUCAAAGGACUAAAGUCCAACAAUUAUUCCAUUAAAUUUUGAUUUAAUAUUCAUUUUAACUUUUUUACUAAAUAAUUUAGGUAAUCCUGCUAAAAAUCUCUCUUUCCAAUAAUCUACAUUUCCACCUGGUCUUAUAUAUAAUUUUGACAUAAACAUGUCUUUAUACCAUCUAUAAUAAGACAUGGAAGGGCAAUGAAGAGUAACUAAUUGUUCAACACCCCUUUCUUGUUAUUGUAAUGGGUCUCUUACAAACACUUUCGUGAUAGCAUAUAAUAGGGUAUUUACUGAGUCUUCUUCUAUUGGUAUUCCAUUAUUAUCUACUUUAAUUGUUGUUAAUAUCAUAGUUUUUUCUUAUUCAGUAACUAUAUUAUCCCACCAUCCUUUUAAUUGACCAGUGAGUCCAGUGAUUAAUAAUAACGCUGCCUUUUUAUCAGUAUUUUUCCCUGAUGUUUUAAAGGCGGUGGCUGCCAUAGUCAUGGCCUGAAUAAUAUUUAAUAUGUUUUGUUCACUAUGUCCAUCUAUGUUCCAUUCAAUAAUAGAAUCUCCACUAUAGGUUACGGAGGUCAUGUAGUAACUUUCUUCAAAUUGUAAGUCUGGAUAGCUAAGUCUAGGGUAAUAAUUUCUAGUUUUACCUUGAUAACCAAUAUUUUUCAUAUUUUUAAUUUUGUUAAUUUCUAACUCAUUGGGGUCUUGUGAUAAUACAUUGACUUGAGAAUUAUUUGUGAUUGUCAACCUUUUUAAUUCAUCAGAGUUAUUUUUUAAUUUUGCUUCUUUUAAUUCUUUUUCAGGUCCAUUUAUUAAUUUAUAAAUAGGGCUUUUUGGAUCUAGUUUGUAAUCCUUAUAUGAAUUUAUUUCACUAUGCGUACUGGGGUGGUUUUUACUCACUUGUAAUUCUACUCUAUCUAAUUGUUCAGCCAUAGUAUAUAAUAUUUGAUUACUAAAGUUUAAUUGAGUUUGGACUCUUCCUAUUUCUUUAUUUUCAUGAUUUGGAUGCUUAAUUGUUUUAAAGGGUGAAGCUUCAAAUAUAAUUCCAUUCUUUUCUAUUUUUAUUGUUUCUAAUGGAGGAUGUAUAGAUUCUAUUAUUUUAUCAUCUACAAUCUUCCAUUUAUUACUUAUUUUAGUAUUAACAUUUAUGUGAUUAUUUCUAAUAAAAGGGUUUUCUAUAUUAUUUUCUAAACAGUAAUUUUCAAACCAGUUAAAGAAAUAAAUAUUUAAUCUUAUUUCUUUAAGGUACGCAUAAUAUUUUUCUCUAUAAUCACUUGUUAUUUCUUUUGAGAAAGUAUCAAAAUACCAUUUUCUUUUAUCUGUAUUAUAAUCUGCUUCGAAAUCUUCUGUUAACUAGACUUUGUCUAUUUCAAAUUCUUCUUCUAAUUAAUUUACUCCUGUUGAAGUUGUGGGAAUUUAGAGAAAACGAUGAGAGAAAAUAAUCACUACGCGAAAAAUGGUAUUUUACAGCGUUUUUUUUAAGCCAUUACAGCGCUUUUUCAAAAAAUUAAGCGCUGUAGUAUCCAGCGCUGUAAAAAGAUACAACAGCGCUCUUUAAAAUAAAUAAAAAGCGUUGUAAAUCUCUUCUAAAAACGUGCUGCUUGUUGUAUUAGUUUUACGGCGCUUUUUAAAAAAAGCGCUGUAAUAUGCAUUCCUUUAUUUCAAUUAGAUCUCUUUCUGGGAUUAUAACAACAAUCUCCUUCAUAAAUCGUAAUAUACAGUAUCCGCAGUCUAUGUUGUUAGUUUGACGAGAGCACUAUAAAAUAAAACAUAUAAGUCAAUAAAUAUUUGUGGAUUGAUUGUUAAUGAAAUUUUAAAGCCAUACAUUUCAAACCUUUAUUAGAAUCCAUGUGAUUUAUUUGAUUUUUGCUUCGACACUGUAGCACCCAUUUGAGCUCGGAAAACUUGUAAAACACUAUCAAAUAAAUGUGAUUAUUAGCAUUAACAGACACAUUAUAUAUAUAUAUAUAAGAAAUAAAUGAAUAAAUGAAUACAAUACCUGAAGAGUGCGAAGAAAUACGUAGAGUUCAUAAGGUUACGGUUUCGUUUAAGAAGAAACAGCGAAGCCUAUUACAGCGCUUUUUUUAAAAAGCGCUGUAAAAGACCUUCUUAUUUUAUUUUUUAAAAGCCUAUUACAGCGCUUUUUUUAAAAAGCGCUGUAAAAGACCUUCUUAUUUUAUUUUUUAAAAGCCUAUUACAGCGCUUUUUUUAAAAAGCGCUGUAAAAGACCUUCUUAUUUUAUUUUUUAAAAGCCUAUUACAGCGCUUUUUUUAAAAAGCGCUGUAAAAGACCUUCUUAUUUUAUUUUUUAAAAGCCUAUUACAGCGCUUUUUUUAAAAAGCGCUGUAAAAGACCUUCUUAUUUUAUUUUUUAAAAGCCUAUUACAGCGCUUUUUUUAAAAAGCGCUGUAAAAGACCUUCUUAUUUUAUUUUUUAAAAGCCUAUUACAGCGCUUUUUUUAAAAAGCGCUGUAAAAGACCUUCUUAUUUUAUUUUUUAAAAGCCUAUUACAGCGCUUUUUUUAAAAAGCGCUGUAAAAGACCUUCUUAUUUUAUUUUUUAAAAGCCUAUUACAGCGCUUUUUUUAAAGAGCGCUGUAAAAGACCUCCUUAUUUUACUUUUUAAAAGCCUAUUACAGCGCUCUUUUUAAAAAGCGCUGUAAAAUACCUUCUUAUUUUAUUUUUUAAAAGCCUAUUACAGCGCUUUUUUUAAAGAGCGCUGUAAAAGACCUCUUUAUUUUACUUUUAAAAGCCUAUUACAGUGCUUUUUUAAAGAGCGCUGUAAAAGACCUCCUUAUUUUAUUUUUUGAAAGUCUAUUACAGCGCCCUUUUACAGACAUUUUAAAGCGCUUGUCCAAAAGCGCUGUAAAAGACCUCCUUAUUUUUUUUUAAAAACCUUUUUACAGCGCUUUUCCAAAAAGCGCUCUAAUAGGUCCUUUAAUUAUGUGAAAUCAAAGUCUUUUACAGCGCUUGUCAAAAAAGCGCUGUUGUAUCCUCCAUUAUUUUUAAAAUAUCAUACAACAACGCUUGUAUUUAAUAAGCGCUAUAAAAUGUCAUUUUUGGCGUAGUGAAUAAAGGCUUGAAUAUUAUUGAUAAUAGCUUAAUGUUGACUUGAUUACAAAAGACUCAAUAUUAAUCUCUAUUUAUAGAGAAACAUAGACUCAAUCCUAAAUCAAGAAUAAAUCAUAAUAAUGAGAGAUAUUCUAAGAUUCUCUAUGAUUAUAAGUUGAUCAUAGAAAAUAGCUCAAGAUACUCUAAUAUAAUAUAAAAGAUAUUGUAAGAUAUUUUCUAAUAUUCUAACACUCUCCCUCAAGCUAAAGCUGACUAAGCUUUAACUUGCUACAAGAUAACAAUGUUUUGCUCCGCAAAAUAAUAAAAAAAAGAUGGAAAGGCAACUCAAGGAUGCAGGUGAAGUCGAAGACAAUUGCUAUAAAUACAGCCUAGAUAGAUAGCUGGAAUGAUCUAUAACAUGAGAGAAAUUCAUGGCAAGCAGUUGAACAACGCAAGGUCCGUCCUUCUAAAAAACUGCAUUUGGAAGCUUCAUACCAAUAAUAUCAGAGACUCAAAAUAUUUAAACUUGAAUUUUUUUCAAGGAGAGAGAGGCAUGCUUCAAGUAGAGAAAGGCAAGGCCAGUACAUCUGGGACAAAGAUGGGGUCAGUGUAUCUAGGACAAAUUGCCAAGUUGUAUGCAUGUGGUUCGAAAGAAAAAAAAAACUUAAAAUAGAUCUGAAACUAGGAAGGAAAACUCAAUCUAGAUGAAUGAAACAUUAUGCAAGAAAGCGGACAGGCGCGUUUGAGCUCGUGUGGAGCAACUUUUGACCUUAAAGAAAAUCUGAGUUGGGUAGAUUGGGAGAUUCCGCACACAAUGGAAGUGGUUGUGUUGGAAAACGUUUCCAGCAGCAACGGCAGAUGGCAGCAGUAGAAGACGGGACAUCAGCAACGAUAGGCAGCAGACGGCGGCGGCAACAGAUCUACUCGCAAGCAAAUUUACCAAAAUUAGUGGCAGCGGCGACAGUAGCGAAUUGAAUGGAAAACGAGUGAAACAUGUCAAAAUGUUGAAAAAGAGAAACUAUGAUUAUAUUCCCUAACUAUUGGGAACUCAACAGCGGAAUAGAGGCAAGAUCGUUCAAGGAGGACCGAAAUCGGGUCUAGAUACCAUGUUGAAGUUGUGGGAAUUUAGAGAAAAGGAGGAGAGAAAAUAAUAAGGGUUUGAAAAUCAUUGAUAAUAGCUUAAUGCUGACUUGAUUACAAAAGACUCAAUAUUAAUCUCUAUUUAUAGAGAAACAUAGACUCAAUCCUAAUCAGGAAUAAAUCAUAAUAAUGAGAGAUAUUCUAAGAUUCUCUAUGAUUAUAAGUUGAUCAUAGAAAAUAACUCAAGAUACUCUAAUAUAAUAUAAAAGAUAUUAUAAGAUAUUUUCUAAUAUUCUAACAACUCCUUAUACCUGAGAUGUUGUUGGUGACAUCUCUGGUGACUCUAAUUCUUGACAAUCUGGACAAGGCUCAUAUAAUGGUUGAGGUAUUGAGGGUACGAAAUCCACUUAUGUUAAGUUAAUAUUAAUGGUAGAUCUUGAAUCUACUGAUUUUCUAGAGCUUGUUUCAGAUAAAUAUUUUAAUGACUUAUCAGUUAUAAAAGACUGACUUCGAUUCAUUCUAAUUCUUAUACUACCAUCCUCUUCUAAAAUAAACUGUCUAGGUUUUCUAGAUUCUAUUCUAGGUGUUGGCAUAAUUUCUUUUAAUACUCAUUCUUUUGGUAGUUUAGCAAUAAUGUCAAAAACCUUUAGUUUUUUAGGGGUUGUAAUAUUAGAAUGUUUUAGAUUUGCUUCAACAAUUACAGUUUCAUUUCUAGGUAUAUUUCUUAAUGCUUUAAAAUUAUAAUUUAUAUUUGAAACGUUAUAUUUAAUUUUGUAACAUAUAUCGAUAUUAGCUACUCCUUCAUAAAACAAAUCAUCCAUACAUUGAAUAUUAAUAACUAAAGACCUUUUAGUAAAACUGUUUUCUAAGUUCAUAGAGUAAUUUGGAUAACAAAUAAAAUAAACAGGACCAUCAUUUAAAUUUGAUUCUAAUAUAUAAAUAUUGGAUUCAUUAAAUCUUUUAAUUCUAUUAUCACGUAGCACUAAUAAUAUGGGAGUAUUUAGUCCUAACUUAUGUAAUGGUUUAAUAGCAACUUGUAUUAAUCCUAAGUGAAUAUAACGAAAUCCUUGUUUGAUAUGCUCAUCAAUUAUUUCUUCAUUUAAUAAAUUAAUAGUUUCACGAUGUUCAACUAUUGAUUUGGAAGAUUCUAAUGUAUGGCUAAUUUCCUGAGAUCUAAAUUUGUAAAACGUACUAGUUUUAUAUAUUUCUUUAUAUUUAAUGUCAGACAUAUUCCAAUUUUGUAAUUUAUUUUCUAUUUCUGCUAUUUGUAACUCUUUGUUUUGAUAAUUGUCAUGGUCAUUUUUAUUAUCUAAUUCUUCUAUAGAUAAUGAAGUAGAAAGUAUCAUGGUUUUAUCUCUUCUUCAGGAUCCUAGUUCGCUCAAGGUUCUAAGGAAUUGGGCCAUAUUUCUAUUGUUUAAACUUAAGGUUUCAAAAUCUUUCUCUUCUCACGGGACCACUGAUAUAUCUAUUCUGGGAACACCCUACCUUUCUCUUGGGAAUUACGGCUUACCAACAGAAUCAACCACAGUUGACCAACGUUUUGAUAAUUAAGAUUUUUAAAAACUUAAGUUUAAAAUACAAGAAAUAUAAUCUAAUUCCUCAGAGUCCUCUUACAAGGCUCUGAUACCAUAUUGAAGAUGAUGUAAGACCAUGAUAAACAUAAGUAUACCAUAAUUCAAUAAAGCAAAACAUAAUACAUAAAGAGUUAUGUGAAAAUAAUGGUAAAUCGUCAAGAAAUAUAUCUAAUUUAGUUGUUAAUAAGAAAACAGUUUGAAAAACUAAUUGAAAGUAAGGAAAGUUCAUAAAUUUGUUCAUGAUUAAAACUUACAAUUAUUUCUUUCAGAGAAUGAGGGAAUUGCAAGGAAACGACUGACAAACUUUUCAAUACUUUUGCGAAUGCCUUACAUAAUAAAUGACCACUUCCUUUUAUAAUGGAAGGAUGGGUCUCAAAUUACAAUAAUACCCCUAAAUUUUUUAGAUAACUUUCAAUAAAGCAAAUAGUGAAACAGUAAAAGCUAAUAAUACAUUGUCAUUUUCAAAAGUAACCUAAUCAUUCAUUACUUUAGUCAAAAGUGACCAUCAGUCGGGGAAUCUUUAAUGAUAACAAGGUGUUGUCAUAUCUUGUCUUCUUAAUAAUUCAGAUGCCUUUAAUGUCAUUUUUAUUUUUCAAUAAUUCAAAAUCAUCAUGCCUCCUUAAUAACUCAGCUACCUUUAAUAUCACAUUUUGUUUCUUUAAUAUUAUUAAAGAAAAUGGAUAAGUGGUGUCAACCAACAAAAUGAAAUUAUUUCAGGAUAAUAUUAGAUUUUUAGGAUUCAACAUUUAUCAAGGAACAAUAACACCAAUUAGUAGGUCAAUAGAAUUUGGAGAAAAAUUUCCUAAUAAAUUAAGAGACAAAACUCAAUAAUAAUAAUAAUAAUAAUAAUAAUAAUAAUAAUAAUAAUAAUAAUAAUAAUAAGUAAUCAUAAUAAUAAUAUUAAUAAUAAUAAUAAUAAUAACAAGCUAAAUCCUAGUAGAAAAGGAUAUACUAAUGCAUUACUAAAAUGGUUAAACGAAUUUGUGUCAUUUGUAAUCCAACAACCAAACAUAUGAAAUAUAGAAAUUAGAUGUCGUUGUUCUGUUUGCAAAAAUAUUGAUUUCUUAGACUUUGAAGUUGUUAACAUUUAUAUUUUAAGGAAGUAGUUUAAACCUGACUAUUAGUAUUGGACAUCUCAUGGAGAAAGUGAUCCAGAGUUGCAUGUAGAAAUUAAAAGGAAAAAUAUGCACAAGAGCGACAUAACAAUCAUUUUAAUAAAUUUGAGAGCAUGGUUUAUGAUGUUAUUGGACCACAGUAUCAAAUGCAUUAUGAUGAAGAAUUAAAGGAUUCUUCAAAUAUAGAUGAUCAAAAGUUUUAUGAUUUACUAAAUGCAGCUCAAAAGCCAUUGUGACCGGGAUGCAACGAUAACACUGAAGUGUCUUUUGUUGUUAGAUUGUUGGCAAUUAAAUUAGAGGAAAAUAUUUGUCAACAAUCUUUUAAUCAAAUAGUGACACUUAUGAAGGACACAAAAUCUUUCAAAACUUGGUCUCACUGUGGAAAAAAUAGAUUGUUGUGUAAAUGGUUGUAUGUUAUUCUACACUGAUGAAUGUAAACAAUUAAAAGAAGGCAAGUUUUGUAAUGCACCUCGUUAUGAGAAAAAAAAAAGAUUGGUAGGCAUGAAUUCAAAGAGGUACCUAUGAAAAUAAUGCAAUAUUUACCGCUAAUUCCCAAACUUAAGAGAUUAAAUGCUUCGAUGAGCUCAGCUCCACAUAUGAGAUAACAUUAUGAAAAUAGACGAGAAUCAGGAGUGAUGUGUCAUCCAUCAGGUGGAGAGACUUGGAAACACUUUGAUCAAAUUUAUCCUUACUUUGUUGUUGAACCGAGGAAUGUAUACCGAUGGUUUUACCCCAUUUAGUCAUACUACCUAACCUUAUUCAUGUUGACAGAUAAUUGUCACUCCUUACAAUCUUCCUCCAGAACUAUGCAUGACAACUCCCUACACAUUUCUCACUUUGAUUAUUCCUGGACCACAUAAUCCAAAGAGCAAGAUAGAUGAGCUCAAAUAUUUAUGGAAUGAAAGAGUGCUUACUAAAUCGAUCGCUAUUAUAUUUAUUGAUCGCUAUUAUAUUUAUUGACCGCUAUUAUAUUUAUUGACCAAUUUUUUCCAUUUAAUAACCGAACAAUUGAUCUCUAAAAGCGCUUUUUCAAUAAUUCUAAUUCAUCAUUUCUCCUUAAUAAUUCAGCUACCUUUAAUGUCACAUUUUGUUUCUUUAACAUUAUUAAAGAAAAUGGAUUAGUGGUGUCAUCCAAGAAAAUGAAAUUAUUUCAGGAUAAUAUUAGAUUUUUAGGAUUCAACAUUUAUCAAGGAACAAUAACACCAAUUAAUAGGUCAAUAUAAUUUUGAGAAAAAUUUCCUAAUGAAUUAAAAGAUAAAACUGAAUAAUAAUAAUAAUAAUAAUAAUAAUAAUAAUAAUAAUAAUAAUAAUAAUAAUAAUAAUAAUAAUAAUAAUAAUAAUAAUAAUAAUAAUAAUAGAUAUAGGAGGAGGUCGUUAACAAAAUAAAAUUAAGUUGCUAGUAUAUGCAAAAUAGGAGUGACACCUUAUUUGUUUUGAUAUAUUUACUCAACGAUAUUAAUUUUGAGGUAUUUUUUUUCUAUUAAAUGUACUUUGAUUUUUUAAAAUAUUUUAUAAUCAUUUUUUCAAUGUUUUAUUUUUAUUAUUUAUAUUACUUUUUCAUUUAUUGGAUUGCAUUGGUCAGCACUCAAGUGGAUUAUGUGGUACUUAAAUGGCUCACUGACAGUAGGUUUAAAAUUCAAAAAGAAUCAUCAUGACAAUUAACCAAUCAAAUGAUAUGUGGACUCGGAUUAUGCUGGAAACAUGGACACUAGAAAAUCAAUUUGAAGUUAUGUUUUCACUCUAUAUGGGACUGUUGUAAGUUGGAGAGCAAUUACGCAGUCGGUGGUAGCACUUUCUACAACUCAAGUUGAAUUCAUUGCGCUUACUGAAGGUGUUAAAGAAGCUUUAUGGAUGAAAGGACUUAUUGGUGAACUAGGAAUGAAUCAGAAUUGUGUUUCAAUUUAUUGUGAUAGUCAAAUUGCUAUACACUUAUCCAAGCAUCAAGUGUAUCAUAAUAAGUCUAAACCUAUUGAUAUUAAGUAUCACUUCAUAACAGAUGUGAUCGUUUCAAAGCAAGUUUCACUUGAGAAGAUUGCAAUUAAGGACAACUCAGCUGAUGCAUUCACCAAAUCACUUUCACAAGCUAAGUUCAAGCAUUGUUUGGACAUAGUUGGCUUCAAAAAAGAGUACAGAUGAAGCAAUGGUAGCAAGAUCAAUGAUUGAACUAUUCUGAUAUUGAGUCAAGGUGGAGAAUUGUGAAUAUGUGCCUCAAAUCAUCUAACUAAAGUUAGUUAAGCUUUAGUGGUUUUUAUAACUACAUUUGGCAAGGUUAGUUAUGAUAGGUGUUUAUAGUUAAUUUGCUUGUGUAUACUAUAAGUAAAGUUGUAAUAUUGUAGCAGUUGUAAUGUUGUUGUUGUAGUAGUAAGAGCUGGAAACUAAGAGAGGCAUAUGCAACUCAUCAUAGAAUAUCAUAGAGAGAUGAUUAAAAUGAGAGAAAGAAAUAUUAAUAGAAAGGCUAGUAUUGAUGGUUCAUAAAUUGAGAAGGCUUUAAUCUUGUAGAGUUCAAUUAACAAUAGUGGAUUAAUCUUGCUUGCUUGCCUGUGAGACCGAACACGUAAAUUUUUUGUGUUAUUCUUUCCUUAUCCUUCUUUAAUUUUAAUGUGAAAACUGUUUCAGAACAUUCUCUAUUUUCAGCAGAAAAACCCAAAACGUUCUACGUUUUCUGGUUUUUUCAGUUCUGUCCAAAACGUUCUACGUUUUCUGGUUUUUUCAGUUCUGUCCAAAACGUUGUCUGUUUUCAGCAGAAAAUGCAGAACGCUCUCCUUUUUAUUUUUUAUCUACAAUUGCUUGUUUUUCUGUUUUGUGGGUUAACUCUUGUUGCAGAUCCCAAUAUUGUUUUAAGAGAAUGUAUUUAUAUCAAGUUUUCAGCUAAAUAGUAAAAAUCUCAUAGGGCGUGAGGAUGGGACGUAGCUCAAAGUUAAGGGUUAAUUAGGAUAAAUUUUUGUGUGAUUUUAUUUACUUUAAUCUUGUAACCUUGUACAUUAGUCACACUGCAUCAUUGCCAUUUACAUUUUAAGGUUUGUUCCUUUCUCAACUCUUUCAAUUUUAAAUUUCUAUAAUUUUCUAGUAAUUCUUGUUUCUUACUUAACAAUUUUGAUUCUAGUUCACUUACCUAUAUUUUUAAUUUUUCAAAUAUGGUUAAAUGUGGUUGAAAAAUAAUGAAAAGACUAUCAAAUUAUUAUAAUUUCAUUUAUUGAUUUCAGAUUGAUGUUAGGUUUUUGUUCUCUUUCAAGUUUUUAUUAUUCAUUGAGAAUGUGUUAUACAUGAUAUUAUUAUUUUGCUGUUAGUUUUUUGUGCUGGUUCAAGUUUUUAUGAUUCAAUGUGGAGCAAAAUGGUUAGUUCAAAUUCUACUAUGCUACAUUGCUAUUGUGCUGCAAUAGCGGCUAUUUGACAACACUUUAUACCUAGCUAAUAGUGUAUUGUUGAACAAUACUGAUUUUAUAAAAAAGAAGAGUGGUUCAAUUAAUUAGUCCAACCAGAUUCACUUUCACUGUUGUAUUGUGAUUUUGACAUUUGAAUAUAAUUUUGAAUCAUUGUUGUUGUAUUAGUUGUUGAGUUGCUAUUUUCCAAAGUUUGAUUUUGGUUGUGAUUAAGGAAAUUAAUAUAUGAGAAAUGUAUACAUAUAUUUAAUACUUUUUCGAUUUAGGAACUCCUAUAAAAUCUAGCCAAAUAGAAAGUUCAUCCUCCAAGAAGACUGAAGAUGUCAUAAAAAAGGAAAGCUCAGAGUAUCCUCUAUCUGAGGAUGAGGAUGAACUCGCUCUGAUUUCCAGAAGAAUUCAGAGGAUGAUAAAUAGAAGAGGAUAGGAUAAAAGAUAUCGUCAAAAAGAAAAAACUGACAAUAGUUAGAUAACUUGUUUUGGAUGCAACAAUAUGGGACACUACAAAACCGAGUCCUCUAAACAAAAGAAACUCAAAAAGAUUUCCCUUCAAAAAUAAAUCUAUGAUGAUUACUUGGGAUGAUAGUGAUGAGUCAUCCUCUGAGAAAUAGAAGGAAGAAUAGGUCAACCUUUGUCUCAUGGAAAAAUCAGAUACUGAAAAGGUAAUCAUCUUAGAACUAUGUCCUACGUGUGAAAUGAGAAAUUAUCUGAGCAACAAACUUUUUUAAAUAAAAAGAAAGUCAAAAGUCAUCCUCCAGAAGAGGACACAGAAAAGGAAAUCUUGAAAGUAGAAGUUGAAGAACUAAAAAAUGACAUUAUCAACUUUGUUAAAUCUACUGAAACAUUUCAAAAGAUUAUGGGAUCUCAAUCUGGAAUCUUUGACAAAGCUGGUAUUGGAUUUAAAAGUUCUCAAAAACAAAAAUUAUACGAAAAUUUUUUCCUGCCUAAAAACAAGAGGAUAGGCCAAAAUGUACGUUUUGGAAAAAACUUGGACAUACUUUCAAAAACUGUCAUGCUAAGAAGAAAGCUGACAACAUAAAGAAAGUAAGUUCAUUUUGUGGUAAACACGAGCACCAUGAUCCUGUUUGUUAUCACAAAAGGAAAAUCCUCACAAGAGGAAAAACUAAUCAACAGGGACCCAAUGUUAUAUGGGUACCCAAGUUACUUUUAACCUCUAACACAGGUUCAUCCUCUGAUCAACAAAAGAAAGCCUUGGUACUUGGACAGUGGCAGCUCAAGGCAUAUGACAUGGAAUCUGAUUACAAACCUUUAUUAACUCCUAAUAACUAUUCCCUCUAUUUUUCAAUGGCUACAAAAUUCCUUCAAAUUCUUUGAUCAAAUCACUCAAAAACUCUGAUUAUUUAUCCUCUUCUUGGAGUGGAUAACCAACCAUCUUAUAAACCCCAGGAAGUCAUCCUCAUGUCUUGCCACAUCAACCUCUUCAACCAAUCCUCACUGUCCUUCAACCUCGUCCUCCUCUGAUGACUUUUUCUCCGUCCACAUCGACCAUUUUGAAAUAUCAGCCUCAUUAAUAUGAAGUCUCUUUAUGGUUCAAAUUCAUGUUUCAAAACUUUGGCAUAUGUUCAAGGGGAGUAAUUUUUUUGAAAAAUUUAAAAAAGUUACUCUUAUGAUUUAGGGGGAGCAUAAACAUUUUAUCUCAUAAUUUUUUUAUAUUUAAAAUCAUAAUCUAAAUAAUUGUGUCAUCAUAAAAAAGAGGGAGAUUGUUGAGACAAAAUCUCUCUCAAAUGGUUUUAAUGAUAACAAAAUUAUUUAAAAGAUUAUGAUUGUGGUUAAUGACUAAUCUGUGCUUUUGAGUGAAUUCAUAUCAUUAAGACAAAAAAGAGAAAAAUCUGAUUCAAAUCUGGAGAAUUGGAAUUCGAGAGGAUGACCUCGUAAGAGGAUAAAGCUUCAAAUCUGCAAAAUACUGAUCCUCACCAAAACAAAUUCUUUUAUUCAUUAAAGUAAAGGCAAAAUAAAGCUUUUGAAGUAAAGAAGUCAGAUGGCAAAAGAAUAGGUACGAGGAGGGAUUAUACUAGGAUGGGUUUAUGGUCAAUAUCUUGGAAAGCAACCCAACACUGUUGAAAGCAACCCAUCAUAUCAUAUGCAAAGGCUAAAAGUAGACCUAUAUAUCAUUCUUGUAUGAUUGAAAACAAUAUAGAGUCAAUCUUCAGAAAUGCAACAACAAACAAGCCAAAAAUAGAAGCCUUCACAUGUCUUGAAGAAAGGAAAUCUGACCCACGUGCUUAAGGAUGGUUCUCUAUUGUCAACAUCGCUCUCAAAAGUUGAAAAUGACCUAGCACUUCAAAGUUCAUAAUGAUUGUAGCCGACAGUCAAAGCUAUAGCCUUACAUGUCUUGAAGAAUGAGAAAAGAAAAGGACAGCUCAAGGCCAAGUUCCAAGGAGGGUGAUCCUCCUGCUCGGGGAUGGACUAAGUCUGUCCAAGGACAGUUGGAUGGCAGUUCUCUAAAUAUGAUGAAAGACUUUGGAGUUUUUGAAUUAUUUUCCCAACGGUCAUAAAGAGCUUGGCACAUGGAAGGAUCAUCACAAGACUUAUGUAUAAGGCAACAAGCCCUUCAUCAUUAAUGAUACAACAACAUUGCAUAAAAAUAUCAGGUAUCUUAAAGCUAUUAAGAGAAAUAUCCAUCAUCUCUUCAUACUUUCUAUAAUCCUACACUAGAUCUUUGAAAUAUCUUUUUAGAAAGUAUUUAAGAAAAGAGAAACAAUCAUAUUCAUAUCUCUUUGUAAUUUCCACGUGAGUUACACUUGGAAAUAGUUUGGAACUUGUAAGAAACAAGAUUGUAAGCUUAGUGAGGCUAUAGAAUACACAAAGUGUAAGUAACAUCUGUUAGAGGUUGAUCAAUUUGAUCAUUAGUGAAAUAUCACAAGUGUGUGACGACUGGACGUAGCCUUCAUUGGGUGAACUAGUAUAAAAGUUGUGUGUGUCAUUCUUUACAUUUUCUCUUUCUUUUACUCUACACAAAUUUAAAAGGCUUAAAUAACCAUCAUCGAGUUCGCAUCCUCUCAGAGAUGAUAGCUUUUAAAAAACACGUGAAAAAUAUUUUAACUAAAAUAAUAUUGGUAGUAUGAUGCAUAAUGAGAAAAUAAUGAUAGUAUACAUAAUUAGAAAAUGAUAUUUAAUUUUAUUUUAGUGGUAGAAUAGAAAAAAAACCAAAAAAAGAGACGAUUGGAAUACGCUUUAACUAGAAAAAAAAAGAGACGAUUGUAAUACCACCGCCUUAAUCCGCGAAUAACUAUCUAUAUUUAUAUUGAUCAGUUCUGUUCUCAAUCAACACAAGAACAACGUUGUUGUUUACGCACUAACGAUCGGAACGAAAGCUCUCUCUCUCUCCCUCGAUCUCGCUCUCUUCUUCUUUGUCAAGCUCUACUUUACAAUCUCUCGUUCUCCCUCUCCCUCUCACUUUUCUCAUUGUUACUUUUUUUAGUUUUACUCUUUGGUUUGUCUAUGUGGCUAUUUUGUGGUUCUUUGAUUCUUUUUUUAGGUUUUUCUGUCCGUGAUGGAUUCCCCGCCAGGUACUCCGAUUUCAUCACUCUCUCAUACGGUGGCCACUCCGUCACUUCCGUCGGCACCGAAAGAGAAACCCCAACAGUCUAUGGCAAGGUUUAUUCAGCACUCUUUAGAUGAUAUUACCGAAAUGGUUCAGGAAAUUAUUCUAAGGCCUGAGUACAGCCAAGAAGCAUUGAAUUCUGAGAGAGAAAGAAAAAUGCGCAUUUUGAUGUCACUGCGAUAGUCAUUCAUUGCUUGCGUGAGUAUGAUUCUUGUGUUGGUUGGUAACUUGGUAUGAUUCUCUGUUCCUUUAUUCCUUUCAAUUUAUAUUUGGUAAGAAUCUAAGUGUAUAGAUUUAUAUACGUUUUUAUGCCAAAAUAUAAAAUAUGCCUUCGAUCUUGAUUUUUAUGCUAAAGAAAGUACCUAUUUUAUAUUAUGAAUCUAUGAUGAAUGAUGAUACUUCUAUAGACGGAUAUGUGUUAGGUAACAAUUUAUCUGUUUCAAUUGUUUAUGAUUCUUAUUCUAAAAUCUAUAAUAAGUCUCCUAAAGUUAGUCCUCUUUAUCUUUUUAUCUUAAUAUUGUUUAUGUUAUGUCAAUGCCACUCUUGUAACUAUUCGAAUAUUUGAGUACUCACUACCAACAUGUUCUAAUACCCUCUCAUUCACUAUCUAAGGUAUGUUCUUUUCUUUGCCAAAACUAUUUUGAAUCUAUUACUAACUUGAUCGUUGGAGUCUUUGCAGGUACCACACCCAUUGCUCAUGAGCAGGAACAACUUUGGCAACAACAAUUGGUCAAUCUAAUCUACUUCAUAUUUGGACAAUCAUUCUAGAAAUGAACAUGUAAGUAGUAUCUUAAUUACUGCAUCUCUUCUAUGUGGAAAAAGGUGAGAAAUUUAUGUGAUUCAAUUGUUUAUGACUCUCAUUCUAGAAUCAAUCAAUCUCUUAAAAUUAGUCCUCUUUUUCUUUUAUCUUGAUAUUGUUUAUGUUCUGUCAUGCCCCCUUCUGGUAACAAUUUAUAUCUGCAUAAUGGAUCACACAUUUUAUUGCGAUGUCGGUGGCAUGUCCCUGUCCUUCUCAACCUCCAAGUGUCGUUUGUGUGCUCGAUGUUGAAAUCGGCCUACAUUCAAGAGAUGUAAGCAUACAUGCAGUAUAUUCCACCACAAGCCUUUCUAGAUCAUAACUCCAAAUUCUAUGAUUGAGUAUUUCUUUUCAACACUUGUUAGGAUAAGGCAAUAGUAUAUAAUUGAAACCAAGAGAUCUCUAUUCAACACAUGUCCAGUGCUUCCUCUACUUACAUCAAGUGGCCAUUUUACUUCCUCUGGUUCACAAUAUGUCUAGAUUGAUGUGCAACUUUGAAGUUCUAGGAUGUCAGAUUAUUUCCUUUCUUUGUAGUGUUACAAUAUUGUUUCAUUUGGCCUAUUGUUUUAAUCUUGACCUUAAUUUGUAUAAACUUCAGUUUCCAUGACAUUGUUAUGUUUA
This 72884-nucleotide long non-coding RNA is filed under the name Cicer arietinum (chickpea). RNAcentral describes it as "long non-coding RNA (CARI_LNC003102)". The record is from RNAcentral. Lineage: Eukaryota; Viridiplantae; Streptophyta; Magnoliopsida; Fabales; Fabaceae.